Molecule: long non-coding RNA, 49303 nt
Filed under: Malus domestica (apple)
Lineage: Eukaryota; Viridiplantae; Streptophyta; Magnoliopsida; Rosales; Rosaceae
Description: long non-coding RNA (MDOM_LNC004914)
Source: RNAcentral
UUGGGCCGAGGGAGGUAUCACUUUCGGCCCGGGAAGACGUACGGCGAGAGAGUCAUGGGGGCGUUCAACUCAUGGGCUUCUAGGCCUAGAUCGGUUAAAUCAGAGUGCAAGUCGAGUCCUAAUACAAUAGGGACCCUCGACGAGAUCAGUAAAACUAGAAGGCGAAUCCGGCUCAGUUAAGGACUAGAUUCGUAGUCCUAGCAGAGAUAGGACUGAUUGAGGUAACGUUAAUCCGGAGAAGGAAACCUAGUUCGAAUAGGAUUAGAACUCGGGCUCGGUGUUCUGCUACUAUAAAUACAAGACAUUCAGCAAUGGAAAAAGCCCACAAAAAUCAAUACAAAAUUGCCCUGCGCAAACUCUCACAACUUGAGAUCUUUUUCUUUUCCUUUUUCGCUGACACAUCUUCCGUUGGCAUCAACAACACUGUGGAAGCAACCGGUGAUAUCUUAAGUCGGCAUAGAUAGCUCUGUCACCGUAGAGUCGGUCGGUCUCGCAGUAUCUUCCGUUGGCAUCAACAGCACUGCGGCGAGAGAACGGUCGAUUGCCUAUUCAAGUCUCGGUCGAGAAGGGUUUUCGAAUCCUUGUUGGUCGAGGUCAUCUCAUUAGCCUUCUCGGCGAGGUGAGGUGUUACAGUUAUUACAUUCGGCACAUUGUAAGCCGAAUUCGGUUCGUGAACUUUGUAAGAAAUAGCAGCCUUGUCUUCAGGCUCGAGAACCCAAGAGGCCGAGACGCGUUCCUUUCUCGGCCGCAAUCGCAAGACGCAGAAGUCAGUAGCGCGACCCAACGCAGCAUCAUCAAAUUUACUCCUCGGCCGAGCCUCGGCCGACGAGUUGGCACGCCCCGCAAUCACCGAAGGACGUAGUUAGCUUAGAAUAUAUUCGGCCUGCGCGCCACGUAGGCUUUGUAAUUUCUAGGGUCAACAGUUUCAUGCUACAUUGAUUUGUUGAAGAAGGUUCUGACUUUGCCGAGGAGUGUUUGGUUUUGCCAACUUCUUCAGGCUCUCCUCCUUUCAAAGGCUUAGGAAUUUCUGCACCGUCCGAUUGCAAAAAGGAGUAAUCCCGGGACUCCUUUAGGUUUUUACACUUUAAUGUUGUGCUAAUAACAAGGCUAUUUGCAGCGGUUUUAGCCUUGUCACCGGAAUUUAGAACCCUAGACGCCAACUGCUUCAACUCCGGCACAAAAUCCUUCAUCUCUUCGUGCACUCUCUUGGCCAUGACACGCUCCGAGGGGCCAAAGAAGGAUCCAAAGUUGUCGAAAGUCAAUUUCUUCUUGUUAUCAUCAGUAGUACUAUUAACCGAGCAGCCAUGAGCAACAGCAGAGCCUUCUGAUUUCUUCAUGCGAAUGCGUUCUUUCAGUUGCUGCCUGAGUUGAAGGAAGUCGAAUUGCUCCGCCUCUGCAGGACGCAUAACUAGAGAAGCCAUCUUUCCGAUCCCAAAGUUGUAGAAUUCUAACUUGGAAACCCUAACUUGCUUUCUAAGCAACUCCUACUUGAAAAAGUGAUCGAAUGCGGAAAGAGAUGGGAAUUGUAGCUUGUAACGUAAUGAAUGGAAGGGAAAAGUCUGUAUUUAUAAUUGAGGAUUAGGAUUGGAUGUGCUUUCAUUUUACGGCGGUCUAGGAAUUUCCUAAUCCCAAUAGGAAAAUGGGAGUGGAUUUUCCUAAAAGGAAUAGGAGAACGUAAAAUAAUCAUUGAAUCAAAUGGAUAUAAACAAACUACACCCAGGUCUUUUUAUGACGUUUUUCUAUUUAAACACCACAACCGCAAGUGAUUUGUAGCUCACUAGAUUAAAAACAUUUGUCUUUGAACCCGAGUUUUUCUAUUUGAAUCACCUUUUUUAUGGUUUGAAUGAGUUUAAUGUAGAUUAUUCUAUCGUCUGUUAAAAGAAAAAAUUAAACACCACCACCUUUCUUUUUUGAGUUCACUCCAAUUUCAAUCUACACCUCAUUAAAAUUUUGAAUUUUAAAUUUUUCCAAAAACAACACACUUUUCACUAAAUUACCCUGAAAUACGAACACACCACUCCCACCAACAAAAAAAAAAGAAAAAUGACAAGACUGCUCCACACCCACAACACCAGCGUGUUCAUGGUGGCACUAGGUCUUGAUCACAACCAAAGAAUAUGAGAUUUUUAAGGAUGAAUCUCAUUUUGAGGUCCUUAUGUAGUAGCCUCCUUUGCUUGCUUGGAGUUUCGGACGUUGGUGUUUGGGAUUUUCAAAGAUCACAAAUCCUAUUAAACUAGAAUGUUCCUUCCAAAUUGAUUUGUCAAUCAAUCCACUCAAAGACAUUAAGGGGCCGUUUGAUAAUCAUCAUUCAAGAGAGUAGAAUCUUAAGACUACACACUCAAGAGUUGAGACAGGAUCGUCUCUAAGAUUUUGGGGCCUUGUGCCAACUUUUCAUGUUCCUUUUAGUCUUUUAUCGUUAUAGUCUUUAUUUAUCUUCUCUUUUUGGCUUUGGCCCUUGAUUUGGUGCCCUCGUCUGAGUUUUUGUCUCAAUUUUAUGAGUUUGUCUCAAUCUGGGCUUUCAUGUCUCUUUCUUACUCAGUUGUCAUUUCAUGUCAGUGAUGUCACAAGUCUUCCACAAUCAACCUCUGCUACUUAACCUAUCGGAGGCCUCUCUUCAGUAGCGCACUUUGGUGUUGUGUGUUGUUUAAGUGUUUUUAGGACUGUUUGGUAGGAUUAUGGGAGCACUCAAUGUGCAGGUGGCUUGCUCACCCCCAUAUUCCGUUGGUGCAAUUGUUUUGUUGGUUUGUUCUCUUGGUUGUGGCGGCCUUGCGAUCGUGGCACAACUGACUUGUUAGACGCUGCUAUUUCCUCUCCAAAUUUAGAGCAUCUCCAGUUAAGUCCCUAUAUAGGGACAAGCACCAUAUAAAAUGAGUAUAAAAUAAAUAUAAGGACAAAAUGAAUCUCCAAUAGAUCGGAAAGUGAGUCCCUAAAGUAUAGGAACUCGCUAGAUACUUGGUGUAUGUACCCAUAUAUAGGGACUAAAAUGGUGGACCUAAUAGGACAAUUUAAGUGGAAAAACAGGCGUGGGUCCCAGUCACAUAGCCUUGUCUUUUUUUUUCUUUUCUUUUUAACCAUUUAAAAUGGAAGGUCCAAAUUGAUUCUUGCUUUUCAAAUUUGUUUACCAUUGAAAGAUCAAUAGUUCCAAUUAAAAACCCGUUUCAAUUUAGGUUACUCUGUCAUGUUGGUUUUCAAAUUCUUUUGUUUUCUCUUUUCAUAAUGCUUCCGUUGAAAUAUUAAUAUUUUCAAUUUGGAUUACUCUUUCAUUUUGUUCUCUCAUCAUUCCUAUAAAUACCAAAUCAUCUAACCAAAACUUACCACAACUUUAUCUCAUAUACUCAGUUCAUUCGUACUCAAUUCACUUACUCUAGUUACGUUUUUGUGAUGAAACAAUUUAGUGUCAGAAUUUGAAUUUUUUUUUGGUUAAAAUAUUCACAAAAAUAUUUUACGAGAACUUAAUGUUAACAUAAACAAAAAUGUGCACCUAAUCAAAUUAUCACAUAAAAUUGUAAAAACCUCAAAUUUAGGGAUUCUACUAUAAGGACUCUCCCAUUGGAGGUAAUAUUCCUUUAGGGACACAAAGAUUCUCUUUAAAUCUUUAAAUGAGUACUCAAAGGUGGUGGUAGGAGUCCCUAAGACCAUCUCCAACCCUUGGGCUAAAAGCCAAAUUUUUUAGCCCGGAAAAUUUAGUUUUUAGCCUAGAAAUAAUUUUUCUGUUCUAACCCUUCUGACUUAAAAUUUUAGUCUGGGAUUAUUAAAGAAUGAACUUAGGCUAAUUUUUUUCUUAAAUUUUCUUUAAAAAAAAAAUUAUGUAGACUAUCGUAAAUUAAUUUUAUAAACAUUUUAAUCUAAAAAUAUUUAAAUUCCGAUAAAUAUUGAAAAAUCACUAAAUCGAUACAUGAAACUCAUGAAACACUAUGGAAGAAUAUGAACAUCAUGAUAUAGAUGUAUAAACACAAAAUACAUAAAACACACAAGACACACAGAACACAUGUAAAACACAUACAAAACACAUGUGAAGGACAUACAAAACACAUGAUAGAGAUGAAGCACACACAGAACACAUGUGAAACAAAUGACACACACGAAACACAUACAAAAUACAUACAAAACACAUGAUAUGAUGAAGCACACACAACACACAUGUGAAACACAUGACACACACAAAACACGUACAAAAUACAUACAAAACACAUGAAACGCAUGAAACAUAAACCUACACACAUGAAACUGAAACCUUCAAUCAUCCUUUAUAUAAACACAGGUUGAAUAUCAGUUGAUCACACAAUCUUUCAACCUUCAAUCAUCCUCUAUAUUCACCAAUCUUUCAACUUUCAAAGAGUUUUUGUUCCUAAAAAUCCUCAAUAUCUCAUCAGUGGGUGAUAGAAGAAGGCGUAGCAGGGCAAUGCAGAUGGCACAAUACCAAGCAAGCCUUGACAUUGAGGAUUCAUAAAUGAUCAACGCAGAAGCUGAACUUGCAAACUCGCUUAUGCAAUAUGAGUACCAUGCUGAAUCUAGCUAUCGUGAUUUUGUCACGGGGCGUUCAUUUGUGCAGCGUGAUAGAGAAGAGUGUCAUGACUGAAUGACGAAAGAUUAUUUCAUCGAGUGUUCGAGAUUUCUUGCUCAUGAUAUUCGGAGGCGGUUUCGGAUGAGGAGAGAGCUUUUUGAAAGCAUCUUGAAUGCAGUGGUCAAUCAUGACCACUACUUUGCAAGGAAGAUAGAUGUCGUAGGCCGACAAAGUCUAUCACCUCAGCAGAUGCUCACAUCUACAUUUCGGAUGCUAGCUAAUGGGUGCUUUGCGAAGAGUGCAAAGCUAACCUCUUCCUCUCCCACGGUUUGAACAAAUAUAUAGGUAUUUAUAGAAUUUUUUGGUGAAUUUUGAGUUAAAUAAUUUUUUAAUUAUUUUAGCCGUUGGAUUUAAAUUUGGGCCGUUAGAUCUUUUUUUUUACCGUUAAAUUUGAUUAUAUUCGAUCUCAGCCGUUGGAUUCAAUGUAUUUUAAAAUAACAUUUAAAAAAAAAAUUUAAUCUGGACCGUUGGAUCAACCAACAGUCCAAAAAUGUCAACCGUCGGAAGAACAAAAGAGUCAUUGGGCUCAUGAUUGUGGCCGACAGGGCCCUGACAGUGGGUCCCACCCUGUCGAGCGCUGAAGGCUUCAGCCCGAGUGGGGCAAGUUGAACAUGUGACGGGGCCAAGAUUGGGCUGGGCUUGGGUGAGUCCACGCGCAUGUGGGCUAAAUCUUGGGGGGAAUUUGGCUUGAGUUUAGCUUUAGCAUUUAGCCCAAAUAUUUGGCUUGGAUUGGGUUGGGUUUUUUUUGGGGGGGGGGGGGUUGGGGGGGGGGGGGGGGGGGGCGGGGGAGGGGAAUAAAUGGGGUAAUUUGACCUUCAGCCUUCAGCCUAAGGUUGGGUUUGGUCUAAAUAGGGACCCCUAUUGGAGAUGCUCUUAAGUUUUUUUGUAAUUAUGAGUUGACUUUUUUUUUGAGUUUUUUACUGUAUUUUCUUUCUUGCAAUUGGGUUUGUAUUUAAGUUGUGGGCUGUUUUGAGCUCUAUUUUUCUUGUACUAGUCUUUUUAUUUAAUAUAAAUAACUUGGUUUGACAAAAAAAAAAAAUUGAACCAGGUGGCUAAGGAAUUUGAGCUAUUAUUUUCGGUAUUUGUUUAAACCAAACUCCAAAUUAUUCGUAAAAGGAUGAAAAGUUAAAAAUAAAUAAUCGAGCAAGUCACGAUGAUCGAAUCCGUGGCCGUUUCCAUUAUAUAACAAGUAAGCAAAACUAGCUCUGCAAGUAGGAUAUUUUGAUAAGAGUUUUUAUAGUCGGAUAAGGUUAGGGAGAUCAAAUUUUUGAACUCAAUGAUAUAUCAUUAAUACGAAAUAAACACGUUAAUCAUUACUGAAGUAAUAAUUUAGUCAUCAACAUUCACAUCAUUUAGUUUGUAAAAUUUAGUUUAAAAAUUUGAUCUCCCUAACAUUAUCCGCUAGACAUCCACCAACAUGAAUGCGGGCCUCCUCGCUCUCACUAAAGCAUUCAAAGUAGAUCAUUAUUGCCAUUGAGGAUUUGUUUCAUCUCUCAUUUUCACUCAGUUAGUGAUAUAAAGGUUGAUGUUGGAUAAAGUUCUAGACCCACAGCACGAUAUCAACAAGAAAACAGAAAAAAAUAAAUAAAUUAGGCAACAAGAGAAUAAAAAAAUUAAAGAACCCCCAAUUUUUAAUUUCAAAUUAAAGAACUCAGAGAAGGCGGGAGAGAGCCGGAAGUGGACGGCGGAGCUUGUAGGAAUCACAGCUGAUGGUCAGAAAUGAAUCGUGGGUUUCUUUACUUUUUUUUUUCUUUUUUUUUUAACAAAUAAUAAUAUCUACACUACGGGAAGGGGGUGGACUUAGUUUCACAAUGGGCUAAUAAUAAUGUGGUUCAAAUUCGCCUUUGAUGAGAAUCGAACCUAACCUCUUACUUACAAGUAAAGAAGAAUACCAUUAGAUCAUAAUAUUAAGUAACUACUUUUGUUUCUCUUGGUUUCUUAGUUUUUGAUAGGGGUAAAAUUGGAUUUUAAAAGAAAAAAAAUGGGGUGAACUUAGAUGAAUAGUGGGGUGUAAAUAGAAAUAUAACCUCAUUUUAAUAGAAACUUAUAAUUUUUUGGUGCCACUUACCAUUCGGGGUCCCGGCGGUCGUCUUGCUAACCUGAAUUAGAGUCGGCUUUGAUCGUGUUUAAAUAGAAAAAUUAAUUUUCUUUUGGGAAAUAUACAAUCAACACAAUUAAGUUAACAGAAUUGCUAAAGUUAUUCAAGAAAACGUGCUAAAGUUAGUCCACGUCAUUAAGUCAAAUCCUUUCCCAACAUGGAUCUUUAACAAACUUUUAAGAAUUCAAUUCAUGUAUACCAAAACUUUACAUAAAGGGAGGGAUGCACGAGUAUCAUGUGUGAAAGCGAAGUGAUUCAAAACGAGAUGUAAUCAAAUGAUGUUACCAAGACACACAUCAACGAUAAACAUAACAUUGUUGAUUUUCUCUUUGAUAUAGAUAGACGUUAGUCUUUACUAUGGUAAGAGAGAUGCAAUUUUACUAUAAUUGUUCAAUUAGAAACAAUAACCUAAAUGAUAUUUGGUGACACUACAUAAAAAGUGAGCAAUAGCUACCCGUGGUGCAACUAUUACCUACUUUUUGACCUUUUUGUUACGUUCACCACUCUAUCUAAUUAAUAAAGUAACGUUACAUUCACCACAUUUUAUAUAUCACAUCUCUACUCUAAUAAAGUUAUGACCCACUAGUAUGAAUACAUCUCACCUAUAUUAGACGUUAGGAAUGUAGUACAAAUGUGUACAAAAUGAAAGAAUAUAAUGCACCGUCACAACUCAACUCUGUUGAAUGAACAAAAAUAAUCACUUUCACAACUCAACGCCGAAUUUAUUGUUGUGGAUUCACUCGCCGAUGUUACAAUCAAACUUCCAUCAGAACAAACUGGGAAAAUUAUAAUUUUGUGCUUCAAAUGUGUGAAGAGAAUGAAUAAUAUUCAUUUUGGACCAAAAAUAAAAGAAAUUAAAAUUUUCAAAAGAAAUAUCUGAAUUCCAUUGGAUUAUAUUUUUUUAAUAAAAGUUUGUAUUGUGGAGACUGAUACAACAGUGGUACAAAUUUCGAAAUUUUACCUUGAACAACUCCAAUUUAACACGCUGAUAUUCUAUUGGUAGCCUUUUUACCUUUAACACCUCCAGUUUAACAUCAAAAUUAAGAUUGACUAUGCUUGGAGAAGACUAUGUAGGAGGAUUACUGAUCAGGUGAACUACUUCCCUCAUCGUAGGUCUUGCAGAGCUGUCGUUGUCGACACACAGCAUUGCCAGUUUGAACAAAUGUAUGACAGCCGCCAAGGGGUAUCCGGCGAGAUUUGGAUCCACCACUGCUAGAACCGAUGAUGAACUGGACAACGACUUGGUAGUUUUCCUCACCCAACCCACUAAGCUUAUAGCGUCUUCAUAGUUCAUCACUGCUUUCCUCCCUGUUAUUAGCUCCAGCAAAACCACACCAAAACUGUACACGUCUAUUUUCUCAUCCACUUUUAGUGUAUAACCGUACUCUGUAAGUUUGCACCAUCAUAUAAAAUAAAAUAAAUUAUUGAUAGAUGCUUGACUAACAAGAAACUUUUUUAUAUUUGACGUGUUUUGGUGAAGGUACGGAGCUUUUGAUAACCAUUUCAUUUACAUUUUUAUUAUUUUUUAUUUUUAUACAAAUGAAAUCUGAUUUCAAAAUCAAGUCAGAAGGUAAAAACUCACAAAAACAUAUUUUAGAUUUUGGUCUUAAGUUUUCAUUUUUCAUAUUUUUUUAUUUGAAAAUUAAAAACCGUUAUCAAACAAGUUUUAAUUUUCGAUUUUUCUAUAAUGAAAGAAAAAAAAACCCUAUAAACUGAAAAUUAAAAUAAUUAUCAAAUAAUUCUUUAAUUAAUUAACCGAAGAUGAAAUAGAUUACGGACCUGGGGCGAUGUAACCGAAGGAACCAGCAACUGAAGACAUGCAAUCAGCUGCAACUCCAUGGAAGUACUUGGCGAGCCCAAAAUCAGCAACAUGAGCCUCAAAGUUUGAAUCCAACAAGAUGUUAUGGGACUUGACAUCUCUGUGUAUAAUCAGGGGUGAACAGUCAUGGUGCAGAUAACACAAUCCCUUUGCAGCCUCCACUGCAAUUUUAUACCUCCUCUCCCACUGAAACUCCCCUCCAUUUUCCCCAUGCAAUAUUUUUCCCAAGCUACCAUUAGGCAUGUACUCGUACAACAACAAAUUAGAGUCCUUAUUGUUCGACAUGUAUCCCAAAAGCCUCACUAUGUUUCGGUGUUUGAUUCGCCCCAGCGUCUUAAUCUCCGCUGCAAAUCCAUGAUCCAUUUGCCCUCUAUUACUUGAUGAUCCUACUAGCUGUUUGAUUGCUAUGUCAAGGCCGCUUGGCAUGGUUCCCCGGUAGACAAUCCCAGCACCGCCUUUGCCUAUUAUAUUCUCUUGCUUUAUGCACUGUAGCAAGUCCUCGACUUUGAGGUCGAGCUGCUGGAACAAUGUGAGCCUCCAACCACUAGAUUUUUGAAUACUUCUUCCUGUACAAAUCUUUAUCAGUAGGAAUACUAGAAGCACGAUAAGUAGGGAACCGAGAACCGCAGGUAGUCCAGCGAUGAUCAUAAGACCGAGCCUGGAGGAACCAAACACAUUGUGGUCUUGAGAUUUCAUGUUAAUGAAGGAACACGGGCGUGAGACGUUGGUACAGAGAUAGGGGUUCCCACGAAACGACGCGAUGUCCAGAAAAUGAUCACCGGUUGGGAUUCUACCGGUGAAAUUGUUAUAAGAGAGAUCCAAAGUUGUAAGGGUUUCCAUGGCGGGUAUUCCGUCAGGUAUUUGGCCAGUGAGUUGGUUCCGAGACAUAUUCAGAAGAUAAACUAGUUUCAGCUUCUCUAUCCCUCUUGGGAUUUCGCCGACCAAAUUGUUUCGACUCAAAUCAAGGGACCCUAGAGACGAACACUUAGAAACAGAAGCUGGAAUUUCGCCACCGAGCUUGUUGACGCUGAUGUUGAUUUUUGAUAACACUAUCAAGUUAAAGAUUUCGUCUGGUAUUUUCCCAGAAAAUCGGUUCAUCUCCAGCGAGAGAGUUGUUAAGUUGUUGAGGUUUCCAAUUGCGGGUGGGAUCCUCCCCGAAAUCUGAUUCGCAGAAAGCGAGAGGAUUGCGAGUGUGCCCGCUGUCAUUUGUGUUGGAAGUUGACCGGACAGGCAGUUAUCAUUCAUCUCAAUCAUACCCAAGCUGGGCAAGUUGAAGAUCCCAACAGGAAUAGUCCCGCUGAUUCUGUUUUUCAUCAUUCUGAUUUUGACAAGAGACUUGCAUUGGCCGAGCUCCAACGGAAUGGGCCCAAAGAAGUUGUUAUCCAUCAGAAUCAGCGUCCUCAGCCUCCCGCCUAAGCACAGAUUCUGAGGAAUCAACCCGGUCAGGUGGUUGCCGGUGACAUCCAAAUCCGUAAGCCUGCCGUUCUGGCCAAGACUUUCGGGUAGUUCGUAUGUAAAGUUGUUCUCCCACAGCUGAAGAAUCUCCAGAUAAGGAAGAUCGCCGAUGAACUUGGGUAUGGGACCGUAAAGGUCGUUCUUGUACAGAUUUAUUAACCUAAUGCUCUUCAGCUCUGAGAAACUUUCGGGUAUUUUUCCAGUGAGUUCGUUUAUGGAGAGAUCCAAGGUCACGAGGUUCGCCAUGCUCGAAAGCUCCGGUGGUAUAAAACCACUGAGCCGAUUUACUUGUAAAAACAACGAGUGCAAAUUCUUCAAAAGGCUCAGACUUGUGGGAAUCUUGCCAAUGAGGUUACAGCUGCUCAUGUCGAGCACUUUCAGCAACGGCAGCGAUCCAAACUCCGGUGGAAUCCCGCCAUCAUAAUUGUUAUAGUACCCUAGGUACAAUUCCUUGAGGUUCUUUAUCUGUGCCAAGCUGGCGGGGAGCUUUCCGCUGAGCAAAUUUCCGUUGAGGCCUAAGUACUCCAAGCUCCGGAUAUUAGAAUAACUUUCGGGAAUGUUUCCAGUGAAGUAGUUGCCUCCCAGAUGAAGAUGUUUGAGCUUUUUACAGCCGGCGGCGAGCUCCAGCGGCAGCUGUCCCGUGAAGUCGUUAUUGUAGGCGUCAAGGACCUCAAGCUCCGUCAUCCCGAGCGUGAUUUCUCCGGGGAACAUGCCGCUGAAGAAGUUGUUUGAGAUGUUCAAAUGCUUUAACGCCGUCAGGUUGGCCAUCUCCGUGGGAAGCCUCCCCGAGAGGUUGUAUUUGGCGAGGCUGAGGUUCACAAGUUUGUUUAGAAGCCCGAUCUCUGCUGGAAUCGAGCCUCGAUCCCGCACGGGCGGCAUAUUUGAGACGUUAAGAGCAACCACUCGUAAUCGCUGGUCGCAUGAAACUCCAGAAAAGGAGCAGUAGUGCUGGGCGGAGGGCUCCCACCCGGUAAUAUUCAUGGCCUUCUUGAGCUUCAGUAGCGCGUCGAGGUCGUCGGCGCACGGCGAUGAUGGGAACAAAAGGAAUAUGAUGAAGGAAACGUAGGCGGAUAUUAGCGUCUUAAAUUUUUUAUUUUCCAUCGGUGAUCACUGAUCAGUGGCCACUAGCUAGUUCUUUCUUCUUGAUCGUGAAUUCGUGAUUAGUUCAUAGUUUAUGUUAAUUACAUGAUUUGUUUUAUAUAAUAUAGUAGUACUACGUUGACUGGAAAGGUUGUAAGUGGGUGGGUAGGAGUAGGACAAAAAGGAUUAUUUUUAGAAUUUUCAGUGUUUCUGCCACUAAUUUUAAUUUUGAGGUUUUUGAGCUUUAAUCCUUCAAAAAUAUUAAAAUUCAAUAAAAACCUGAUGUUAAAUUGAAUAUUGAUUUUAGUCCCUUAACUGUACUUAAUUUAAAUUUAUAUUAUAUUUUUGUUUUUAUAUUUAAUGUUAUUAAAUUAAAAUUAAAAUUUAUUAUUAUACACAUUUUAAUUCAUUAAUUUUAUUUAACUUUUCCUAAAUAGUGUACCUAAAUGUCUGUAUCAUAAUAUAUUUUACUAAAUUAGUGUACCAAAAUACCCGUACCUAAAUAUAUUAUAGUGAAUCAGCGACACAUAAUAAAAUAUGUAAAAACAUAAGUGUACCAAAAAUUCCAUACCUAACUAUAUGAUACUAAACUAGUGUACUGAAAUAUUAGUACCUAAAUAUAUUAUAUUAAACUAGUGCACCAAAAUAUCCGUACCUAAACAUAUUAUAUUAACCCAGUGUACCGAAAUGUUCGUACCUAAAUAUAUUGUAAUAAAUUAGUGGUAAAUAAGAAAAUAUGCAAAAACAUAAGUGUACUGAAAAAUCUCUACGAAAAUAUUUUCUUAUAUAAGAUGCUUACCAUAAUGAGAAUUAAAAUUUAUAAUAAUUUCAUAAAAUUUAAAUUCAUAAAAUUAUAAAUAAAAAAAGAGACAUUGAAUACAUAUGUUGGCAUUAAAUAGAGUCCAAGGACUAAAAUAGAUUUUUAAUCUUGUAUGAGACAUUUUUCUAAACUUCAUCUUAUUUAGGAAUUAAAAUCUAGUUUUCUAUUUAAUUUUCACACUUAGGUCAAUGUGUAGGUCUAAUUUAUUUCAUGGUGAGAGAGCUUUUGCUUGCGUCUCAUCCCAAUUGCACACUUUAAUAAUUGUACCCAAGUUUUUCAUGAUAGAAUCCUUAUCAAAAUAUUUGAGGCUGCCAAUUUACAUGUUAGAAGAAAGAGGAAAUUGGAGCAUUGAUCAGUUUGGCCGAUUUAUGUUCGGACUUUAGGGCUGCUAAAUAAAACAUUCAAGUUUGUUUAGAUAAACAUCGUACAAAGCGUGCAAUCAUUUGGCCAAUUUAGUUGAUUUUCGUCGUAUGUCAAAUCACGUUGUAUACAUGUCAACGUACGUCAAAGUAGUCCAUGGAGUGUUGUCGGGAGCCCAUAUCGAGUAUUGUUGAGAUUCAUUGUCAAAUUUUACCGAGAUGCGCUGAGCAUACAUUAUAUUAAACAUUGAUGAACACAAAAGAGUCUCACACCAGACAUUCAAAGAGUCCUUAAAGGACUUUCAUAAGCGUGUUUCCAACUUUCAGUGAGUCCCAGGACCACGUAUUGAUAUCACAUUAAUCCAUGCAUAAAAAUCCAUCAAAAUUGGUAUGUGCCUAUCCUUUGUCGCAAGGAUGAUUUUAGGAAGGAUCGGAUUGAAAACCAAGUUUCCAAUUUUCGCUCCCAAAUUUCGGAAUAAGGUCGGAUAGGAACAUAAUUUUUAAAUUUGGAAAUUUUGUAAUUGGAGUAAUCUCAGAAAUUUUGGAACCUAAUUCGGAUUCAUAUAUUUUAUAAGUUUUUGAGUGUUCUCGGCUUUUUUUAUUACAUGUAAUUUAUUUGGUGGCAUACUAGUAUGAUUAUCCAUUUUGAUAUAUAGAAGUAUGUUUAAUAUAAAAACAAUGAACAAACUAUAUCUAAAACUAACACUAAAAUACAAAAGUUGACAAUAAAAUACAUAAUUUUGCGUUCAGGUUAUUAUAAAUGAAUACAGGAGAGCUCCGCUGUCAUUCCCGCAAACACAUGUUUUGAAUCUCAGCAGACGAACGGAGUUGAAAUUGGUGGUUUGAUGAUGCUUUUUUUUUUCAUUUAGAGAUGUGAGAGAUGCCAAAAAAUCGAAGGAAAAAGAAAGAAGCUGAUUUAUUAGUAUGUACAACAAAUUUCAAUCAAAAGCCAACAGAAUUAAUUCGAUCCCAAGACAGAUCAAAACAAGCAAAGAUUGGCUGAUUGAUGGCAUUACGAAUAAAUAAAUAAAUAAAAGAGAAAAAAGAAACCUGAUCAUUCAAUAUCGUCCACAAACUGUGAUUGAUCAUCAAAUCUGAUCAUGAUUUACUAUCUAGUACCUCCUGCAGAAGAUUCAGGCCUUCCGCCGAUAUACUCCUCUUGAAUUUUAACUUUGGGAUCUCAAGCAACGGGGGUGGAUCUGGCGAGAAGCAUACCACUACCACCGUCAGGUUAUCGCACGUAUUGCGCUUGAGUGCCUCCCGAACCAGCUCUCUUGAGCAUCUCUCGGGAUCAUUGUGGAUCAUUAGUUCUUUCCUUGCCAUCGUGACUGCACACUGGCUGCUCAUCACAUCCCACAACCCAUCACAGCCUAGGAUUAAGAAUUCGUCUUCCUCGCUCAGAAUUGUCUCCUCGAGCUCUGGCUCUGCACUCAAGGGACACAAGGAACCUUUGGAGCCUUUCAUGUGCCAGUCCCCAAGAGCUCGUGCCACAGAUAAUUGACCGUUGAGGUAGCCAUCAUACACCAUGCCUCCCAGUUUCUCGAUUCUCACUCUUUCGGAGGCACAAUUGGGUUUAUGGUCUUUGGAAAGCUCAAUUGCCCUACCUCUUCUUCCCAGCACAGCUCGGCAAUCUCCAGCAUUUGCAAUUAGCAUCGUCCUGAAAAGGAGAAAUCAUAUGUAAAUCACAAUGAUGCCACUUGUAAAGACACAACAGGAAGAAAACUCUGGUCAAAUCCUACAAGCCUUCAAUACAUUCUUCUUACAGAAUAACUUGCCAAGUUUACCUGGAUACGACUUAAAUGUUUUAGCCGGACAUCUAUUACACAAUGGAAGCGUUUAAAAAGUGACCCACUUCCUCCAACUAAAACGUUUAUUACCAUGUUACAAGCCUCUAUAUUGAUUCCAGGAGUUGUACAGCCAUGAAAGUAUUCCUGGAUAAAAGCACCAUGGAUGACAACAGAAAGAAGUGUGGUUGGCAAAGAUGAAAUUUUACCCCUGGACUUCGCACAAUAAGAUAGCUCUUAACAUAGAAGGAUCACAAUAGAAUUCAAAUGUUACAUUAACCAAAAUUGCUCAUUAGCAAUUCUUCAAAAAUUUGUUUCCAACAACCCAAAAAAAAAAUCCGGUAUGCUACAAGGAGUCCUUAUGAAAACUAAUAUACAAUCAUAGACAGAACUGAUUAUAUUUUAAUCCGGUAUGCUACAAGGAGUCCUUUGUGCAGGAACUUUAAUCCGGUAUGCUACAAGGAGUCCUUAUGCUACAAGAAUUAUAUAUAAGUUAUAUUUUAUUUAUUAAAAUAUUAUAUAAGAUAAAAUAACUGGUUAUAUUUUAACUUUGGUUUAAAUUUGGGCGGGAAUUUUCCCAGUUUGUUUUGCACGGGGAAAUGGGUUGGACGAGCUCUUGCAGACUGUGUCAGAGUUGGCGUCGGUUUUAACCGACGCAAACUCUCAUUAUUUCGACACAAAGAUUCCUUAUUUCGACGCUACACAAAUCUAUCAAGCUAACGUCGGUUUUAUCCGACGCAACCCUGUCAGUCAAAAAUAUGUCAGACCAUUCAGUCAAAAGCGUGUCAGGCUGCGUGUAGUCAGAACUAGUGUUCAUCAUAUUUCGACGCAAAGUCAUUUUUUAUCAAUUUGUCAGACAUUGCGUCGGUUUUGACCAACGUAAGGUUUUCACAUUUCAACACAACUUGUAGCUACUGUCGGUAUUAACCGACGCUAUGUUCAUUAGUAUUUAAGCCUCGUCUUUCCCAGGACUUAUGCGCUUCCAUCUCUCUUGUCAUAUCAGAACUCCAUCAGUAUUUAACCCAGAUGCUGUUAUAUCAGAACUCUGAUUGACUUUUCAAUCUUUGUUCCAUCAGUAUUUAACCCAGAUGCUGUUAUAUCAGAACUCCAUCUCUCUUAUAUUUCUCCUCUGGUUUACUCCCUCUCCUUCUCCUCUGGUUACUUUCCCUUGUCGACUUUUCAAUGUUAUAUCAGAACCCAGAUGCUUGGAUUAUAUCAGAACCCAGAUGUUCACCGAGACAUUGAUGGCUUGUCCGGCUGACCGGAUCUCCAGAGGGCAAAUCUCGCUCGGCACCAACCGCAACGGACCCCAAGACCAUGCAAAUGCUGCUACAUAUGCACAGAUCGAGAACAAGAUCCGAUUGGCUUCAGUUUUUGUAAAGGAGAAGGAGAGGGAGUAAACCUACAGUGCAUGUGUGGAACAAGAUCCGAUUGCCUAUCAUCACUCCAACGGCAACCUACAGUGCAUGUGUGGAAGUUUGGUAAUGUCCUUUACAAAUUAAAGGAGGCAAACAAUUGUUUUUAUUAAAUUGAUUGUGUUUAAGUACCUGGCACAGGAGCAUCUGCACACCACCUUGAAGGAACAACACCCUUCUUCCGAACUUAUCGACUGCGAGAAUGGACACAAAGGUAGCAACCACGUUAACACCGCCGGUGAUGACUGCGGACAUUAGGGAUGCUUCGUCUCCAAACCCCAAGGUCAUGAAAAUAACUGGUGCGUAAAACAUGAUCACAUUGAUCCCGGUGAGCUGCUAGAAGAAUGGAACGAGAAUGCAAAUGACAAGUUGAGGCCUAUAUCUCGGCUCUGUGAUGUUGGUCCAUUGGUUUUCCACUUUUUGGGCAGCGUCAGUAGCAUCAAAAAGGUCUUGGAACUCCUCAUCAACGUUGUUGGUGCCACGGAUUUUUUUCACUAACUUUUGCUAUGGAUAAUUCUAGUGAGGAUCAAUGUUCUGAGGAACUUCAUUUGGAAGAGGAGGUGUUAGAAACUGGUUCUUUUUUUACUUAUUAUAAAUUUCAGUUUUUGUUUAGUGUUUAAACUAAUAUUAUUCUUAAAUUGAAAUUUUACAUUUGUUUCCUGUUUUUUAGUUGUUUUUUUUUGUAUUAAUAAGGUAUAUCUCAGCAGAGGUGCGCAGCAACCCUCCUCCUGAAGUGAAUCCUAUAAUUGAAAUUUAUUAUUAGAUUAUAUAAUUUUUUUGAGUUAUAAUUAUUUGAGAACGAAUACAGAAACAGAUUUCGAUUUUUUAUUUAUUAUUAUUAUCAAAGGUGGUGUCGCUUUAAACCGUCACUAGUUUGCAUAUUUUAUUUAUUUAAUUCUUAUCUAACGUCGCUUUAAACCGUCACUUGUUUGCAUAUUUUAUUUAUUUAAUUGUUAUCUAACGUCGCUUUAAACCGUCACUUGUUUGCAUUUUUUAUUUAUUUAAUUGUUAUCUAACGUCACUUUAAACCGUCACUAGUUUGCAUAUUUUAUUUAUUUAAUUGUUAUCUAACGUCGCUUUAAACCGACGUUGAAAUCAGCGUCGCUUCAAACCGACGCUGCUUAGUGGCGGAUUAAGCGAACAAACCGACACUGAAGCCCUUUAGUGACGGUAGCAAUGGCGUCGCUAUUCUAAUCCGACAUUGCAGUGUUUUAUGUCGGAUUUUUGCCAAAUUGCCGACAUAAAUCGGGUUUCUUGUCGGUUUUUGGUCCGCCGGUGAUAGCCUAUAUUGUAGUAGUGUAAGGAAUUUGAGCUAUUAUUUUCGGUACUUGUUUAAACCAAAGUCCAAAUGAUUCGUAAAAGGAUGAAAAGUUACAAAUAAAUAAUAGAGCAAGUCACGAGGAUCGAAUCCGUGGCCGUUUCCAUUGUAUAACAAGUAAGCAAAACUAGCUCUGCAGGUAGGAUAUUUUGAUAAGAGUUUUUAUAGUCGGAUAAUGUUAGGGAGAUCAAAAUUUUAAACUCAAUGAUAUAUCAUUAAUAGGAAAUAAAUACGUUAAUCAAUAGUGAAGUAAUAAUCUAGUCAUCAACAUCCACAUAAUUUAGUUUGUAAAAUUUAGCUUAAAAAUUUGAACUCCUUAACAUUAGUACGCCAGAGUCGUCCACCAACAUGAAUGCGGGCCUCCUCGCUCUCACUAAAGCAUUCAAAGUAGAGCAUUAUUGCCAUUGAGGAUUUGUUUCAUCUCUCAUUUUCACUCAAUUAGUGAUAUAAAGGUUGAUGUUGGAUAAAGUUCUAGACCCACCGCACGAUAUCAACAAGAAAACAGAAAAAAAUAAAUAAAUUAGGCAACAAGAGAAUAAAAAAUUAAAGAACCCCCAAUUUUUAAUUUCAAAUUAAAGAACUCAGAGAAGGCGGGAGAGAGCCGGAAGUGGACGGCGGAGCUUGUAGAAAUCACAACUGAUGGUUAGAAAUGAAUCGUGGGUUUCUUUACUUUUGUUUUUUUUUUUUAACAAACGAUAUUAUCUACACUACGGAAAGGGGGUGAACUUAGCCUCACAAUGGGCUAGCAAUAAUGUGGUUCAGAUUCUCCUUUGACGAGAAUCGAACCUAACAUCUCACUUACAAGUGAAGAUGAAUACCACUAGAUCGUAGUACUAAGUGACUAUUUUUUUUUCUCUUGGUUUCUUGGUUUUUGAUAGGGGUAAAAUUGGAUUUUAAAAGAAAAAAAAUAAUGGGGUGAACUUAGAUGAAUAGUGGGGUGUAAAUAGAAAUAUAACCUCAUUUUAAUAGAAACUUAUAAUUUUUUGGUGCCACUUACUCUUUGGGGUCCAGGCGGUCGUCUUGCUAGCCCUGAAUUAAAGUCGGCUCUGAUCGUGUUUAAAUAGAAAAAUUAUUUUUCUUUUGGGAAAUAUACGAUCAACACAAUUAAGUUAACAGAAUUGCUAAAGUUAUUCAAGAAAAUGUGCUAAAGUUAGUCCAAGUCAAUAGGUCAAAUCCUAUCCCAACAUGCGAUCUUUAACAAACUUUUAAGAAUUCAAUUCAUGUAUACCAAAACUUUACAUAAAGGGAGGGAUGCACGAGUGUCAUGUAUGAAAGCGAAGUGAUUCAAAAUGAGAUGUAAUCAAAUGAUGAUACCAAGACACAUCAACGAUAAACAUAACAUUGUUGAUCAUUUCCUUGAUAUAGAUAGACGUUAGUCUUCACUAUGGUAGGAGAGACGUAAUUUUACUAUAAUUGUGAUCAAUUAGAAACAAUAACCUAAUUGAUAUUUGGAGACACUACAUAAAAAGUGAGUAAUAGCUACCCAUGGUGCAACUAUUACCUACUUUUUGACUUUUUUUGUCACGUUCACCACUCUUUCUAAUUAAUAAAGUAACGUUAUAUUCACCACAUUUUAUAUAUCACAUCUCUACUCUAAUAAAGUUAUGACCCACUAGUAUGAAUACGUCUCACCUAUAUUAGACGUUAGGAAUAUAGUACAAAUGUGUACAAAAUGAAAGAAUAAAAUGCACCUUCACAACUCAUCUCCGUUGAAUGAACAAAAAUAAUCACUUUCACAACUCAACCCCGAAUUUGUUGUUGUGGAUUCACUCGCCGAUGUUACAACCAAACUUCCAUCAGAACAAACUGGGAAAAUUAUAAUUUUGUGCUUCAAAUGUGCGAAGAGAAUGAAUAAUAUUCAUUUUGGACCAAAAAUAAAAGAAAUUAAAAUUUUCAAAAGAAAUAUCUGAAUUCCAUUGCAUUAUAUUUUUUAAUAAAAGUUUGUAUUGUGGAGACUGAAACAACAGUGGUACAAAUUUCAAAAUUUUACCUUGAACAACUCCAAUUUAACACGCUGAUAUUCUAUUGGUAGCCUUUUUACCUUUAACACCUCCAGUUUAACAUCGAAAUUAAGAUUGACUAUGCUUGGAGAAGACUAUGUAGGAGGAUUACUGAUCAGGUGAACUACUUCCCUCAUCGUAGGUCUUGCAGAGCUGUCGUUGUCGACACGCAGCAUUGCCAGUUUGAACAAAUGUAUGACAGCCGCCAAGGGGUAUCCGGCGAGAUUUGGAUCCACCACUGCUAGUACCGAUGAUGAACUGGACAACGACUUGGUAGUUUUCCUCACCCAACCCACUAUGUUUAUAGCGUCUUCAUAGUUCAUCACUGCUUUCCUCCCUGUUAUGAGCUCCAGCAAAACCACACCAAAACUGUACACGUCACUUUCAGUGUAUAACCGUACUCAGUAAGUUUGUGCACCAUCAUAUAAAAAAAAUAUAUUGUUAGUGGAAGUGGACCAAAAAACAGGUCUAGCUAGAUAGAUGCUCGACUAACAAGAUACUUGAUUAUAUAAUAUUUGACAUGUUUUGGUGAAGGUAGGGGGCUUUUGAUAACCAUUUCAUUAACAUUUUUUAUUUUUAUAAAAAUGAAACCUGAUUUCAAAAUCAAGUCAGAAUGUAAAAACUCAGAAAAACAUAUUUUAGAUUUUGGUUUUAAGUUUUUAUUUUUCAUAUUUUUUUAUUUGAAAAUUAAAAACCAUUAUCAAACAAGUUUUAAUUUUUCGAUUUUUCUAUAAUGAAAGAAAAAACUAAAAACCCUAUAAACUGAAAAUUAAAAUAGUUAUCAAACAAUUCUUUAAUUAAUUAAUCGAAGAUGAAAUAGAUUACGGACCUGGGGCGAUGUAACCGAAGGAACCAGCAACUGAAGACAUGCAAUCAGCUGCUACUCCAUGAAAGUACUUGGCGAGCCCAAAAUCAGCAACAUGAGCCUCAAAGUUUGAAUCCAACAAGAUGUUAUGGGACUUGACAUCUCUGUGUAUAAUCAGGGGUGAACAGUCACGGUGCAGAUAACACAAUCCCUUUGCAGCCUCCACUGCAAUUUUAUACCUCCUCUCCCACUGCAACUCCCCUCCAUUUUCCCCAUGCAAUAUUUUUCCCAAGCUACCAUUAGGCAUGUACUCGUACAACAACAAAUUAGAGUCCUUAUUGUUCGACAUGUAUCCCAAAACCCUCACUAUGUUUCGGUGUUUGAUUCGUCCCAGCGUCUUAAUUUCCGCUGCAAAUCCAUGAUCCGUUUUUGCUGUAUUACUUGAUGAUCCUACUAGCUGUUUGAUUGCUAUGACGAGGCCGCUUGGCAUGGUUGCCCGGUAGACAACCCCAGCACCACCUUUGCCUAUAAUGUUCUCUUGCUUUAAGCACUGUAGCAAGUCCUCGACUUUGAGGUCGAGCUGCUGGAACAAUGUGAACCUCCAACCACUAGAUUUUUGAAUAUUUCUUCCUGUACAAACCUUUAUCAGUAGGAAUACCAGAAGUAGGAUAAGUAGGGAACCGAGAACCGCAGGUCCAACCAUGAUCAUAAGACCGAGCCUGGAGGAACCAAACACAUUGUGGUCUUGAGAUUUCUUGUUAAUGAAGGAACACGGGCGUGAGACGUUGGUACAGAGAUAGGGGUUCCCACGAAACGAGGCAAUGUCCAGAAAAUGACCCCUGGUUGGGAUUCUACCGGUGAAAUUGUUAUAAGAGAGAUCCAAAGUUGUAAGGGUUUCCAUGGCGGGUAUUCCGUCAGGUAUUUGGCCAGUGAGUUGGUUCCGAGACAUAUUUAUCCCUCUUGGGAUUUCGCCGACCAAAUUGUUUCGACUCAAAUCAAGGGACUCUAGAGACGAACAAUUAGAAACAGAAGCUGGAAUUUCGCCACCGAGCUUGUUGACGCUGAUGUUGAUCUUUGAUAACACUAUCAAGCUGGAAUUUAUGUGUCACAUUAGCACUUAACGGAAUUUUUGACAGAAUUUUGACGAAAUGAUCACAUUGAUUUGCGACACCUAUUUUCAGGGACUACAUUUAUUGAUUUUUAAUUUUAGGGACCAUUUUGAUGGUGAGGGUCAAUUUUAGGGACUAUUUGUGAUAAAAACCCAAAAAGAAAUUGAAGAACCCCCAAUUUUUAUUUCAAAUUAAAGAACUCAAAGAAGGCUGGAGAGAGAAGUCGUGGGAGGAGCUUGGAGGUAGGCCUAGCAAUUCCUGACACGACCCAAUAACCCGACACGACACGACACGAAAUUAACAGGUGUUCGGGUCGACACGAUAACGAAACGGGUCGUUAUCGGGUAACCCGAUAAGCACCUGUUAAGAUAACGGGUUUGUUCGGGUAUACACGUGGGUAACACGAUACACGAUAAGCAGAAUAUUAAUUUAAUAAUUUAUAACCCUAAAAAAUACUAUAAUAAUAUAUAUAUAUAUAUAUAUAUAUAUAUUAAUUUAACAAUUUUAUACCCCUAAAAACUAUAAUAAUUAUAAUAUAUAUAUAUAUAUUUAAAUUAACUAUAAUAAUUAUAAUAAUUAUAUAUAUAUAUAUAAUAAUUAUACCCAAAAUAUUAACUAUAAUAAUUAUAUAUAUAUAUAUAUAUAUAUUAAAUUUUAUACCCCUAAAAACUAUAAUAAUUAUACAUACAAAAUAAAUAGAUUUAAAUCUACUUAAUAAAUAAAUAUAUAUAUAUACACACACACACCAUUGAACUUCAUGGGAUACGAAUUAUACGAAACUAAUUUCAACGAUCCAACCAUCAAACAUGUUUGUAUAUACUUCGAGAUCGCAUACGCCAAAAAUUGCAAAAAACAAACAUUCAGAGAGCAAGUAACGGGACAAAACUUUUCGACGAUUAUAAACGAAAAAUCACGAUUUAACGGUUAUUUUAACUCCGAUUUUGAUGAUUUUUUACAACCACACUCCUUGACCCUAUAUGAAUACAAUGAUUGAAUUCGAUCUUCAAUUUAAAAUAUUUACACUAGUGGAUACCACAAAAUCUUAUGUUAUACUUAAUAAAAGUAUGAAUAAACUCUUAAGUAUUAGUAAAUCUAUUGUUUUGAUGGGAUACUCGUUUUACAAAACUAGUUUCAAUGAUCCAACCGUCAAACAUGUUUGUAUAUACUUCGAGAUCGCAUACGCCAAAAAUUGCAAAAAACAAACAUUCAGAGAUCAAGUAAUGAGACAAAAGUUUUCGACGGUUAUAAACAAAAAAUCACGAUUUAACGGUUAGUUUAACUCCGAUUUUGAUGAUUUUUUACAACUACACUCCUUGACCCUAUAUGAAUACAAGUAAUGAAUUCGAUCUUCAAUUUAAAAUAUUUACACUAGUGGAUACCACAAAAUCUUAUGUUAUACUUAAUAAAAGUAUGAAUAAACUAUUAAGUAUUAGUGAAUCUAUUGUUUUGAUAGGAUACUCAUUCUACGAAACUAGUUUCAAAGAUCCAACCGUCAAACAUGUUUGUAUAUACUUCGAGAUCGCAUACGUAAAAAAUUACAAAAAACAAACAUUCAGAGAUCAAUUAACAGGACAAAACUUUUCGACGGUUAUAAAAAGAAAAAUCACGAUUUAACGGUCAUUUUAACUCUGAUUUUGAUGAUUUUUUGCAACUACACUCCUUGACCUUAUAUGAAUACAAUGAUUGAAUUCGAUCUUCAAUUUAAAAUAUUUACACUAGUGGAUACCACAAAAUAUUAUAUUAUACUUAAUAAAAGUAUGAAUAAACUAUUAAGUAUUAGUGAAUCUAUUGUUUUGAUGGGAUACUCAUUCUACGAAACUAGUUUCAAUGAUCCAACCGUCAAACAUGUUUAUAUAUACUUCGAGAUCGCAUACGCCAAAAAUUGCAAAAAACAAACAUUCAGAGAGCAAGUAACGGGACAAAAUUUUUCGACGGUUAUAAACGAAAAAUCACGAUUUAACGGUUAUUUUAACUCCGAUUUUGAUGAUUUUUUACAACUACACUCCUUGACCCUAUAUGAAUACAAUGAUUGAAUUCGAUCUUCAAUUUAAAAUAUUUACACUAGUGGAUACCACAAAAUCUUAUGUUAUACUUAAUAAAAGUAUGAAUAAACUCUUAAGUAUUAGUGAAUCUAUUGUUUUAAUGGGAUACUCAUUCUACGAAACUAGUUUCAAUGAUCCAACCGUCAAACAUGUUUGUAUAUAUUUCGAGAUCGCAUACGCCAAAAAUUGCAAAAAAAAAAACAUUCAGAGAGCAAGUAACGGGACAAAAAUGUUCGACGGUUAUAAACGAAAAAUCAUGAUUUAACGGUUAAUUUAACUCCGAUUUUGAUAAUUUUUUACAACUACACUCCUUGACCUUAUAUGAAUACAAUGAUUGAAUUCGAUCUUCAAUUUAAAAUAUUUACACUAGUGGAUACCACAAAAUCUUAUGUUAUACUUAAUAAAAGUAUGAAUAAACUAUUAAGUAUUAGUGAAUCUAUUGUUUUGAUGGGAUACUCAUUCUACGAAACUAGUUUCAAAGAUCCAACCGUCAAACAUGUUUGUAUAUACUUCGAGAUCGCAUACGUCAAAAAUUACAAAAAACAAACAUUCAGAGAUCAAUUAACGGGACAAAACUUUUCAACGGUUAUAAAAAGAAAAAUCACGAUUUAACGGUCAUUUUAACUCUGAUUUUGAUAAUUUUUUUCAGCUACACUCCUUGACCUUAUAUGAAUACAAUGAUUGAAUUCGAUCUUCAAUUUAAAAUAUUUACACUAGUGGAAACCACAAAAUCUUAUAUUAUACUUAAUAAAAGUAUGAAUAAACUAUUAAGUAUUAGUGAAUCUAUUGUUUUGAUGAGAUACUCUCCAACCGUCAAACAUGUUUGUAUAUACUUCACGAUCGUAUACGUCAAAAAUUACAAAAAAAAAAACAUUCAGAGAUCAAGUAACGGGACAAAACUUUUCGACGGUUAUAAAUGAAAAAUCACGAUUUAACGGUCAUUUUAACUCUGAUUUUGAUGUUUUUUUACAACCACACUCCUUGACACUAUAUGAAUACAAUGAUUGAAUUCGAUCUUCAAUUUAAAAUAUUUACACUAGUGGAUACCACAAAAUCUUAUAUUAUACUUAAUAAAAGUAUGAAUAAACUAUUAAGUAUUAGUGAAUCUAUUGUUUUGAUGGGAUACGAAUUAUACGAAACUAAUUUCAACGAUCCAACCACCAAACAUGUUUGUAUAUACUUCGAGAUCGCAUACACCAAAAAUUGCAAAAAACAAACAUUCAGAGAGCAAGUAACGGGACAAAACUUUUUGACGGUUAUAAACGAAAAAUCACGAUUUAACGGUCAUUUUAACUCCGAUUUUGAUGAUUUUGUACAACCACACUCCUUGACCCUAUAUGAAUACAAUGAUUGAAUUCGAUCUUCAAUUUAAAAUAUUUACACUAGUGGAAACCACAAAAUCUUAUGUUAUACUUAAUAAAAGUAUGAAUAAACUCUUAAGUAUUAGUGAAUCUAUUGUUUUGAUGGGAUACUCAUUCUACGAAACUAUUUUCAAUGAUCCAACCGUCAAACAUGUUUGUAUAUAUUUCGAGAUUGCAUACGCCAAAAAUUGCAAAAAACAAACAUUCAGAGAGCACGUAAUGGGACAAAACGUUUUGACGGUUGUAAACAAAAAAUCACGAUUUAACGGUUAAUUUAACUCCGAUUUUGAUGAUUUUUUACAACUACACUCCUUGACCUUAUAUGAAUACAAUGAUUGAAUUCGAUCUUCAAUUUAAAAUAUUUACACUAGUGGAUACCACAAAAUCUUAUGUUUAUACUUAAUAAAAGUAUGGUAUAAUACUAUUGUUUUAUUUUUUUUCAUAAUUAUUUUGGUAAACUUCUCAUAAUUUGAAUGAUUUUUAAUGUUUGGUUUUUCUAUGCUUAGUUUAUGCAGAAGAUAGUUAUGACGUGGAAAACUUUACUGAAAACAUCAUCAACAUAACUCUUGAAGGCAAUAGAUCAAGCCAAAGUUCCAAUGCAAUUUCAUGAUGAUCGAUGUAAAUCGAGGAUUUUGUAAAUUCAGGUUUAAACUUUUGAGAAAGAUUUCACAACCUUGAAAACAAAAAUUGUUUCAUUUUGCAUAUCCUUGCACAUUUAAAAUUUGUAAUAGAUUAGUAGUGUAUGUAUUAUUUUUUUAUUAGGCUCUUAUUUUCGAGUGUAGAUGUAGUACUUAAACGACAAAUGUGUUUUAAUGUUUUGAAGUAAUAUUUAUGUGGCAAUGUGUGGUAUGUGCAAAUUUAAGAAAAAAAAUAUAUUUUUCUUAACGGGUCAUAACGGGUCGGGUCACUUUACCCGUUGGGUAAAGUGACACGACCUGUUAAGGACCCGUUAAGAUAACGGGUGUGACACGACACGACCUGUUAAGAUAACAUGUGUUACACGAAAACGACACGAACACGACUGACACGACCCGUUUGCCAGGCCUACUUGGAGGGAUCAUAGUUGAUGGUUAGAAACGAAUCGUGGGUUUCUUAACUUUUUUUUUUCUCUUACUUUUUCAAUAGGGGUAAAAUUGUAUUUUAAAAGAUAAAAAAAUAAUAGAUGAAUUUGAAGCAACUUCAAAUGAGAUGUCAAAAAGUCUACAUCAACAUUAACAGUAAAAAAAUGACAUAAUCAGUGUUCUCCAACCACAAUGUCAAUUCAUAUGUGACAUGACAUGUAAUAGCAGAAGGGGGAGUUGCUGUCAAAUUUGACAACAGCUUCAAAUAUGUUUUUUAUGAUUUUUAUUAUUAGCUUUUGUUUUAAAACUACUAAUUAUAAUUAUAAAAAGUAAAUAAUGUAAUAAAUAAUAGUUUAAACUUGACAUAUUGGGGUGAAGAACAAAAUUUAAGAGAAAAUCAAUGUGCCACAACCUUCAAAUUAAAUUUUUAUGUUUAAAAUUUGACAUUUCCUUUCCACUUAGUAAUACGGUUUAGUAGUAUUUUACUUGUAAGUGAGAGGUUUUAAGUAUAAUUCUCGCUUAAGGCGGAUUUGAACCACAUUAUUAUGACUCGCCCAUUGUGAGGCUUAGUCGAUUCUCCCACCUCCUUAAUGUAGAUAAUAUCGUUUGUUUAAUUUUUUUUUUUAAAGAAGAUGGUCUUAGAUGUAAAAUGCCAUAAUGGUAUGUAAAUAGAAACAUAACCUCAUAUUAAUAGAAACUUAAUAUUAUGGUGCCCUGAUUUUCUGGGGACCUGGGCGGCCAUCUUGCUAGCCUGAACCACUGCCAACUAGUGUUUGAGUAGGAUUUUUAUUUUUUUUUUGGAAAAUAUACAUUUAUUUUUUGUAACACAAUUAACUAUACCCAUCAGAAGCAUUGGGGAGUGGUCGGCAAAGAUGUGUGUAAUGGGAUUCGGUCAGUUCUGGUAAUAUUCUCCGAAAAAUUAACUAUACCCAUGUUACAUUAAUUCCAAAAGUCAAAGAUGCUACGAUGAUGACUCAACUUUGCCCUAUUAGCUUGUGCAAUGUGUUAUACAAAAUAGUGGCGAAGGUCCUCACAAACAGGUUGAAGUUUAUCCUUACGCAGGUUAUAUCCCAUACUCAAAGUGAUUUCGUUCCGGGACGCUUAAUCUUCGAUAAUUACUUGGUUACUGUUGAGGUUGCUCAUUAUAUGCAUAAAAGGUCAUUGGGAGUUAAUGGGCUUAUGGCUUUGAAAUUAGACAUGAGUAAGGCCUACGAUCGAGUGUAAUGGAAGUUUUUGGAGGCUAUGAUGCGAAGGUUGGGAUUCGCUAAAAGGUGGAUCCAUAUGGUCAUGUUGUGUGUGUCCACGGUGACUUAUUCCUUUAAGUUAAAUGGGGAUCCGGUGGGUUAUGUGCACCUAGAAAGAGGAAUAAGACAAGGAGAUCCUCUCUCCCCUUUCUGAUUUGUGUUAUGUGCAGAAGGCUUGUCGACUCUCUUGUCGAAGGCUGAGUUUGAUGGAGAGUAACAUGGGAUCAAGGUGUGUUGUGCUGCUCCUAGUAUUCAUCAUUUGUUUUUCGCUGAUGACAGUUUUCUUUUUGCCCAAGGUACUAUUGGUGAAUGCCAGGUCAUAAAAUAGGUAUUGCGAAGGUAUAAGUUGGCUUCGGGACAAGCAGUUAAUUUUGAGAAGAGUUGUGUUUCAUUUAGUCCCAACCUCAAUAUUUAUGAUAGGCAGUUAUUGGCUGAUAGUCUUGGGAUGCGAAGAGUGGAUUUUCAUGAUAAAUAUCUGGGUUUGCUAGUUUUGGUCCGAAAAUCGAAAAAAGAAACCUUUGCGUAUGUGAAAGAUAAGGUGUGGAAAAAGUUGCAAAGUUGGCGAGGCGGUUUACUUAGUAGUGUGGGUUGCGAAUUAUUGGUGAAGACGGUGGCGCAGGCCUUACCUACAUAUUCCAUGCAAUGUUUUAUACUCUCUAAAUCAUUUUGCGAGGAGUUGAAUAUGAUGAUAGCGAAGUUUUGGUGGAGUGGUGACCCGGGGAAAAGGAAAAUACAUUGGCUCAAUUGGAGAGUGUUGUGUAAGUCUAAGCAGGAGGGAGGUCUUGGGUUUAGAGACCUUUAUGCAUUCAAUUUGGCUUUAUUAGCCAAACAGGCAUGGCGUUUUCUGCACAAUCCUGAGGCAUUGGUGUAUCGGUUUUUCAAGGCCCAGUACUUCCCUACCACAGAUUUUCUUGAAGCUCGGGUAACAUCUAAUAGCUCAUAUGUCUGGCGUAGUAUUGUCACUUUGAGAUCGGUUCUCCACAAGGGACUUCGGUGGCAGAUGGGUAAUGGUAAGUUGAUUCAUAUUUGAAAGGACAAUUGGGUGCCGAGGGAGUCAUGCCUCCAGAUUUUGACCCCACCACCAUUACAUUGGAAUGGUGAAGCCACGGUGGAUGGCUUGUUGAGGCCGGAUGUUAAGUAGUGGGAUGAGAGUUUGUUGAUUUCACUUUUUUUCUCAGGAGGAAGUGGAACUAAUUCAAGGGAUCACACUUAGCUUGCGUGAUAUUGCUGAUUGCAGAGUGUGGCAUUAGGCAGAUUUACGGUCCGAAGUGCGUAUCAUGUUGCUCGAGGAAUAAUUGCUGCUAGUGGGGAAAGAGCUGAAGGCUCAUACUCGUACACUAGUAAUAAUGGGGACAAGCUAUGGAAGAAGCUAUGGACGACUUGUGUCCCUGGGAAAGUAAAGAUUUGUGUGUGGUGUGCAUGUUUGGAUUCUUUGCCUACAAGGUUAAAUCUUUGUAAGCGAAGGGUGCCAGUCAACAGUGGUUAUCUUAUAUGUGGUUGCCAGGUGGAAUCCGUAAAGCAUGUUUUGCGUGAUUGCCAUGUUGCUAAAGCCGUAUGGUUUCACGGUUUGGGUGUAGGGGUGGAAAGUGGGCACGGUGUGAAUUUCUUGAAUUGGUUAGCAAAUCUGCAUUUACAGGGAUCUCCGGUGGGAUUUGAGCUUGGUAUAAUGUUGGUUUGGUCACUAUGGCAUCACCGGAAUGAAGUUCUUUGGAAUGGUAAGUACUCAAAUCUGGAUGAGAUCGUAUUACAGACGGAGGGUUAGUUACAUGAAUUCCACAAGUGCCAUAAGACGGACAUAAGGAAGGGGAGACGUGAGUUGCAGAAGUGGAUAAGACCAAUGGAGGGUUGGAUAAAGUGCAAUUUCGAUGGAGCAUGGAAUCACCGUCAACAUUGGGAUGGGUAUGGAAUUGUUUUGCGUAAUCACUUGGGGGAGUUUUUAGGUGCUGCAGGUCCCAUUCAUUGCUCCACGUCUGCCUUGCAUGCGGAAUUCUUAGCAGCUAGGCACGCUGCACAAUUUGUUCAAAGGUUAUAUUCGGUCAAUGUCCAAGUUCAACUUGAAGGAGAUGCGAGCUUGGUAUUGACUGCCAUUAAGGGCCAAGGUGAGGAUAUGUCUAAUUUUGGACCCAUUAUUAAUGAUUUGCGAUGUUUCUGUUUGGAGUGGUCGAAGUUGACGGUAAGUCAUGUGCAACGGGAAGGAAUUUCGGCGGCUCAUCGGCUUGCUCGGCUAGGGCUUACUUGUACUGAGGAGAUUGUGUGGUUCGAGGAUCCUCCGUAUUUAAUUCAGGAUAUUUUGUUGGAGAAAGGAUUAUAAGUUUGAUUGUUCAUUUGAGGAUAGGUCUAUUGUUGUGCGGGACACUCUUUUCCUUGUACCGGGUUGAAAUCCCCGGCAAGGUUUUUAUCGAGGCCCAUUUUGCACACUAUCCUCAGUUUAUACGAAUUAUGUUUUGUUUAAUGAAUAUCGUACCUUUUGUUCAAAAAAAAAAUUUCUUAAUUUCUUCAACAAAAAAAUGCAUUAAUAUUUUUAUUAAUUUGUAAAAAAUAAAAAAUAAAAAAUCUAAUACAAAAGGUUUCAUUUAAUUUAAAAAAUAAUUUAUGGUCCAAUCAUGUUUCUUGUCGAACUGCACCCAACUCUGGAAAAAAUUGAGUCGUAGCUAAGUCUAUUCAAGUAAAUGUGCUAAAGUUAGUCAAAGUCAAUGAAGUGAAUCCUAUCCCCUGAAACAUAUUGCCCUGCAGCAUCUACGGGAUCUUUAACAAAACUUUUAAGAAUUCAAUUCAUUUACACCAAAACUUUACAUAAAGUAAAUCUGCAAAACUUUUAAGAAUUCAAACCAAAACUUUACGUAAAGGGAGGGAUGCACGAUUUUCAUGUGUGAAAGCGAAAUGAUUCAAAUACGAGGCAUAAUCAAAUGAUGUUAUUGAGGCACACGAUAAUGAUAAACAUAACAUUGUUGAUCAUCUCUAUGGAAUAGGUAGAUGUUAGAUUUUGAUUCACUUUUACUGAAAUUGUGAUCAACAUUAUGAUCAAUUAGAAACAAUAACCUAAUUAAUUUUUGGAGACACUACAAGAAAAGUGAGCAAUAGCUACUCUAGUUAGUGACUACUUUGGUAAUUGUUGCUGGGUGACAAUGGUGUUGCCAAUGAGAAAAUAGUGAUAAAAGUUCAAAUAUAUCUAUAUUGAUGCAUUUGUCGCCAUUGUGGUGUAACUAUUACCUACUUUUUAGUUUUUUGUAACACUCAUCACCAGAGUAAAAUUACAUUUAUCACAUUUUGUAUAUACCACAUUUCUAAUAGAAGAAAGAAUCCACCAGUAUCAAUAGGUCACACCUAUAUUAGACAUUAGGGAUGUAGUACAAAUAAAUGUGUACAAAAUGAAAGAAUUAAUAUAAUGCACCUUCACAACUCAACUCUGUUGAAUGAAAAAAAAUUAGUUACUUUCACAACUCAAAUCUAUUUUUACUCCAACAAGUUUUGGUAAAAUGCCUAUGGUACGUUAUAAUAUUUACACUACAAGGAAAAAAAGCCUUUUAGGACUAGGGUUUUCAUCAUAAAUGUUUUGAGGCAAGAACCAACAUGUGUUUUUUUUUUAAGAUGAACUAACAUAUGUUUCGUUUCAUACAAAAGAUCUCAGUAUUAUUCGUAAUGAUACCAUUAUUCAUCUAUUGUACCUUAAUUUGUAAAGUUUUAACAUCAUUUUACACAUUCUUCAACAAUACCAGUUUAGACAAUUCAAAUAUAUGAGCAUUAUUCUGCUACACUACAACUCGCUCAAAAAUUAUAGUUCUUUAGAUCCCAAAAACAUAUCUAAAUUAAGGUUGACUAUGCUUGAAGAAGACUAUGUAGGAGGAUUACUGAUCAGGCAAACGACUUCCCUCAUCGUAGGUCUUGCAGUGCUGUCGUUGUCGACACAAAGCAUUGCCAGUUUGAACAAGUGUACGGCAGCCGCCAAGGGGUAUACGGCGAGAUUUGGAUCCACCACUGCUAGUACCGAUGAUGAACUGGACAACGACUUGGUAGUUUUCCUCACCCAACCCACUAAGCUUAUAGCGUCUUCAUAGUUCAUCACUGCUUUCCUCCCUGUUAUUAGCUCCAGCAAAACCACACCAAAACUGUACACGUCUAUUUUCUCAUCCACUUUUAGUGUAUAACCGUACUCUGUAAGUUUGCACCAUCAUAUAAAAUAAAAUAAAUUAUUGAUAGAUGCUUGACUAACAAGAAACUUUUUUAUAUUUGACGUGUUUUGGUGAAGGUACGGAGCUUUUGAUAACCAUUUCAUUUACAUUUAUUUUAUUUAUUUUAUUUUUUAUACAAAUGAAAUCUGAUUUCAAAAUCAAGUCAGAAUGUAAAAACUCACAAAAGCAUAUUUUAGAUUUUGGUCUUAAGUUUUCAUUUUUCAUAUUUUUUUAUUUGAAAAUUAAAAACCGUUAUCAAACAAGUUUUAAUUUUUCGACUUUUCUAUAAUGAAAGAAAAAAAACUAAAAACCCUAUAAACUGAAAAUUAAAAUAAUUAUCAAAUAAUUCUUUAAUUAAUUAAUCGAAGAUGAAAUAGAUUACGGACCUGGGGCGAUGUAACCGAAGGAACCAGCAAAUGAAGACAUGCAAUCAGCUGCUACUCCAUGAAAGUACUUGGCGAGCCCAAAAUCAGCAACAUGAGCCUCAAAGUUUGAAUCCAACAAGAUGUUAUGGGACUUGAUAUCUCUGUGUAUAAUCAGGGGUGAACAGUCAUGGUGUAGAUAACACAAUCCCUUAGCAGCCUCCACUGCAAUUUUAUACCUCCUCUCCCACUGCAGUUCCCCUCCAUUUUCCCCAUGCAAUAAUUUUCCCAAGCUACCAUUAGGCAUGUACUCGUACAACAACAAAUUAGAGUCCUUAUUGUUCGACAUGUGUCCCAAAAGCCUCACUAUGUUUCGGUGUUUGAUUUGCCCCAGCGUCUUAAUCUCCGCUGCAAAUCCAUGAUCCCUUUGCCCUCUAUUACUUGAUGAUCCUACUAGCUGUUUGAUUGCUAUGUCAAGGCCGCUUGGCAUGGUUCCCCGGUAGACAAUCCCAGCACCGCCUUUGCCUAUUAUGUUCUCUUGCUUUAUGCACUGUAGCAAGUCCUCGACUUUGAGGUCGAGCUGCUGGAACAAUGUGAGCCUCCAACCACUAGAUUUUUGAAUAUUUCUUCCUGUACAAACCUUUAUCAGUAGGAAUACUAGAAGCAGGAUAAGUAGGGAACCGAGAACCGCAGGUAGUCCAGCGAUGAUCAUAAGACCGAGCCUGGAGGAACCAAACACAUUGUGGUCUUGAGAUUUCUUGUUAAUGAAGGAACACGGGCGUGAGACGUUGGUACAGAGAUAGGGGUUCCCACGAAACGACGCGAUAUCCAGAAAAUGAUCACUGGUUGGGAUUCUACCGGUGAAAUUGUUAUAAGAGAGAUCCAAAGUUGUAAGGGUUUCCAUGCCGGGUAUUCCGUCAGGUAUUUGGCCAGUGAGUCGGUUCCGAGACAUAUUCAGAAGAUAAACUAGUUUCAGCUUCUCUACCCCUCUUGGGAUUUCGCCGACCAAAUUGUUUCGACUCAAAUCAAGCGACCCUAGAGACGAACAAUUAGAAACAGAAGCUGGAAUUUCGCCACCGAGCUUGUUGACGCUGAUGUUGAUUUUUGAUAACACUAUCAAGUUGAAGAUUUCGUCUGGUAUUUUCCCAGAAAAUCGGUUCAUCUCCAGCGAGAGAGUUGUUAAGUUGUUGAGGUUUCCAAUUGCGGGUGGGAUCCUCCCCGAAAUCUGAUUCCCAGAAAGCGAGAGGAUUGCGAGUGUGCCCGCUGUCAUUUGUGUUGGAAGUUGACCGGACAGGCAGUUAUCAUUCAUCUCAAUCAUGCCCAAUCUCGGCAAGUUGAGGAUCCCAACAGGAAUAGUCCCGCUGAUUCUGUUUUUCUUCAUUCGGAUUUUGACAAGAGACUUGCAUCGGCCGAGCUCCAACGGAAUGGGCCCAAAGAAGUUGUUAUCCAUCAGAAUCAGCGUCCUCAGCCUCCCGCCUAAGCACAAAUUCCGAGGAAUCAACCCGGUUAGUUUGUUUCCGGAGACAUCCAAGUCCGUAAGCCUGCCGUUCUGGCCAAGACUUUCGGGUAGUUGGAAUGUAAAGUUGUUCCCCCACAGAUGAAGAAUCUCCAGAUGAGGAAGGUCACCGAUGAACUUGGGUAUGGGACCGUAAAGAUUGUUCCAAUACAGAUAGAUGGACCUAAUGCUCUUCAGCUCUGAGAACCGUUCGGGUAUUUCUCCGGUGAGUUCGUUUUCGGCGAGAUCCAAGGACACGAGGCUCGCCAUGCUCGAAAGUUCCGGUGGUAUAAAACCACCGAGCCGAUUUACUUGUAAACACAACGAGUGCAAAUUCUUCAAAAGGCUCAGACUCGUGGGAAUCUUGCCAGUGAGGUUACAGCUGGCCAUGUAGAGCACUUUCAGCAACGGCAGCGAUCCAAACUCCGGUGGAAUCCCGCCUUCGUAACUGUUAUCGUUCCCUAGGUACAAUUCCUUGAGGUUCUUUAACCGUGCCAAGCUUGCCGGGAGCUUCCCGGUGAGAAAAUUGCCGUUGAGGCCUAAAUACUCCAAGCUCCGGAUAUUAGAAUAACUUUCGGGAAUGUUUCCCGUGAAGUAGUUGCCUCCCAGAUGAAGAUGUUUGAGCUUUGUACAGCCGGCGGCGAGCUCCAGCGGCAGCUGUCCCGUGAAGUUGUUAUUGUAGGCGUCAAGGACCUCAAGCUCCGUCAUCCCGAGAGUGAUUUCUCCGGGGAACGUGCCGCUGAAGAAGUUGUUUGAGAUGUUCAAAUGCGUUAACGCCGUCAGGUUGGCCAUCUCCGUGGGAAGCCUCCCCGAGAGGUUGUUUUCGGCGAGGUUGAGGUUCACGAGCUUGUUUAGGAGCCCGAUCUCUGCUGGAAUCGAGCCUCGAUGCAUCACGGGCGGCAUAUUUGAGACGUUAAGAGCAACCACUCGUGAUCGCUGGUCGCAUGAAACUCCAGAAAAGGAGCAAUAGUGCUGGGCGGAGGGCUCCCACCCGGUAAUAUUCAUGGCCUUCUUGAGCUUCAGUAGCGCGUCGAGGUCGUCGGCGCACGGCGAUGAUGGGAACAAAAGGAAUAUGAUGAAGGAAAUGUAGGCGGAUAUUAGCUUCUUAAAUUUUUUAUUUUCCAUCGGUGAUCACUGAUCAGUGGCCACUAGCUAGUUCUUUCUUCUUGAUCGUACGUGAAUUCGUGAUUAGUUCAUAAUUUAUGUUAAUUACAUGAUUUUUUUUAUAUAAUAGAGUAGUACUACGUUGACUGGAAAUGUGGUAAGUGGGUGGGUAGGAGUAGGACAAAAAGGAUUAUUUUUAGAAUUUUCAGUGUUUCUGCGGUAAUUUUAAUUUUCACACUGAAGUCAAUGUGUAGUAGGUCUAAUUUAUUUCAUGGUGAGAGAGCUUUUGCUUGCGUCUCAUCCCAAUUGCACGCUUUCAUAAUUGUAGACCCAAGUUUUUCAUGAUAGAAUCCUUAUCAAAAUAUUUGAGGCUGCCAAUUUACAUGUUAGAAGAAAGAAGAAAUUGGAGCAUUGAUCAGUAUUGGCCGAUUUAUGUUCGAACUUUAAGGGCUGCUAAAAUAAAACAUUCAAGUUUGUUUAGAUAAACAGCGUACAAAGCGUGCAAUCAUUUGGCCAAUUUAGUGGAUUUUCAUCCUAUGUCCAAUCAUGUUGUAUACAUGUCAACGUAUGCCAUAGUUCAUGGAGUGUUGUCGGGAGCCCAUAUCAAGUAUUGUUGAGAUUCAUUGUUAAGUUUUACCGAAAUGAGCCGAACAUACAUUAUAUUAAACAUUGAUGAACACAAAAGAGUCUCACACCAGACAUUCAAAGAGUCCUUAACGGACUUUCAUAAGCGUGUUUCACAUGAAUCCAUGCAUAAAAAUCCAUCAAAAUUGGUAUGUGACUAUCCUUUGUCGCAAGGAUGCUUUUAGGAAGGAUCGGAUUGAAAACCAAGUUUCCAAUUUUCGCUCCCAAAUUUCGGAAUAAGGUCGGAUAGGAACAUAAUUUUUAAAUUUGGAAAUUUUGUAAUUGGAGUAAUCUCAUAAAUUUUGGAACGUAAUUCGGAUUCAUAUAUUUUAAAAGUUUUCGAGUGUUCUCGGCUUUUUUUAUUACAUGUAAUUUAUUUGGUGGCAUACUAGUAUGAUUAUCCAUUUUGAUAUAUAUAAGUAUGUUUAAUAUAAAAACAAUGAACAAACUAUAUCUAAAACUAACACUAAAAUACAAAAGUUGACAAUAAAAUACAUAAUUUGAGUACAUAACUAAGAAUUCAGAAUAUUUCGGAAGAUUUUUUUUUUCAUCAAUAUAAGUUUGGAACACUUAAGAAAAAUUCAGGUUAGAAAUUCGGAGUUACCGAAAUUGCUAAAUUCAUUCUGAUUUUCCGAAAAUAUUCGGAUUCAGAAAUUUUAUUAUCAGAAAUCGCAAACCCAUUACAAAUUGCACCCCUACUUUGUCGGAAGAAUGAGGCCUUUAUGAAAGCUUGUCUUAGUCUCCUUCCCGAGUCUGCAUCUUUUGCGUUCAAGUUAUUAUAACUGAAUACAGGAGAGCUCCGCUGACAUCCCCGCAAGCACAUGUUUUGAAUCUCAGCAGACGAACGGAGUCGAAAUUUGUGGUUUGAUGAUGCAUUUGUUUUUCAUUUAGAUACGUGAGAGAUGCCAAGAAAUCGAAGGAAAAAGAAAGAAGCUGAUUUAUUCACUAUAUUAGUAUGUACAACAAAUUUCAAUCAAAAGCCAACAGAAUUAAUUCGAUCCCAAGACAGAUCAAAACAAGCAAAGAUUGGCUGAUUGAUGGCAUUACGAAUAAAUAAAUAAAUAAAAGAGAAAAAAGAAACCUGAUCAUUCAACAUCAUCCACAAACUGUGAUUGAUCAUCAAAUCUGAUCAUGAUUUACUAUCUAGUACCUCCUGCAGAAGAUUCAGGCCUUCCGCCGAUAUACUCCUCUUGAAUUUUAACUUGGGAUCUCAAGCAACGGGGGUGGAUCUGGCGAGAAGCAUACCACUACCACCGUCAGGUUAUCGCACGUAUUGCGCUUGAGUGCCUCCCGAACCAGCUCUCUUGAGCAUCUCUCGGGAUCAUUGUGGAUCAUAAGUUCUUUCCUUGCCAUCGUGACUGCACACUGGCUGCUCAUCACAUCCCACAACCCAUCACAGCCUAGGAUUAAGAAUUCGUCUUCCUCGCUCAGAAUUGUCUCCUCGAGCUCUGGCUCUGCACUCAAGGGACACAAGGAACCUUUGGAGCCUUUCAUGUGCCAGUCCCCAAGAGCUCGUGCCACAGAUAAUUGACCGUUGAGGUAGCCAUCAUACACCAUGCCUCCCAGUUUCUCGAUUCUCACUCUUUCGGAGGCACAAUUGGGUUUAUGGUCUUUGGAAAGCUCAAUUGCCCUACCUCUUCUUCCCAGCACAGCUCGGCAAUCUCCAGCAUUUGCAAUUAGCAUCGCCCUGAAAAGGAGAAAUCAUAUGUAAAUCACAAUGAUGCCACUUGUAAAGACACAACAGGAAGAAAACUCUGGUCAAAUCCUACAAGCCUUCAAUACACUCUUCUUACAGAAUAACUUGCCAAGUUUACCUGGAUACAACUUAUAUGUUAUAGCCGGACAUCUAUUGCACAAUGGAAGCGUUUAAAAAGUGACCCACUUCCUCCAACUAAAACAUUUAUUACCAUGUUACAAGCCUCUAUAUUGAUUCCAGGAGUUGUACAGCCAUGAAAGUAUUCCUGGAUAAAAGCACCAUGGAUGACAACAGAAAGGAGUGUGGUUGGCAAAGAUGAAAUUUUGAUAGCUCAUAACAUAGAAGGAUCACAAUAGAAUUCAAAUGUUACAUUAACCAAAAUUGCUCAUUAGCAAUUGUUCAAAAAUUUGUUUCCAACAACCCAAAAAAACAAAAAAAAUCCUGUAUGCUACACGGAGUCCUUACGAAAACUAAUAUACAAUCAUUCAUAGACAGAACUGCAAGGGCAUGAUUGUGUUUACACCAAUACAAUUUGAAAUCACUUUAGCAACAAAAGAUAAGAAAAGACACGGUAGAAUAAUAGUAGGUCUCACCUUCCAGAGAUGAGGGCCGUAAGUGCAGUGGUACCAGAAGAACUGUCAAGACCACCGGUAGCAGCAAAAGCAAGGUCAGCAUUUAGAAAAGCGCUCUUCAUAGCCUUCUUAGUACAGAACGGGAAAUGUGGAUCCUCAACUAUAAACCUUAAAAUGUUCUCUCUGAUAAACGAAGAUGCAUCAGUACCACCAUGGCCGUCAAAAACCUGUGAUAGAAGGAAAGGUUGACACAUAAUGGUACAUCAGGUAGUUGUAGACUCAGAAAAAUCACAUGAAAGUAGCAUUAAAGUUUAUGAUCACAACUUUACAUAUUGUUCAUUGAUUAAAUUACACACCCCAUAGAAUGCUCCAGGAGAAGUGAAGUUCGCAGUUGCACCUAGAUGAUCAAGAAUAUUGUCUACACAAAUAUGCUCAUCCUCCAUAUAUGGUUUCGGUCCAAUCUCCGAGCAGCUUCCAGAGCGAAAAACAGGUACAAAAGCUGAGUUACUAUCUGAUGGGGAAUUUGAGCUAACAAUCCCAAUAUCCAACUCCUAAGCAAGGAGAGAAAAGGCAACAUCAAAUUUCUUGCCCAUUUAAUAUGAAAUGAAUGAUAAAAACUGCAAUUGUUAUAGCUGAUUGAAGUCAAUCUCACCACUUCAGCUGCAGGAGCCAACUGGGCAGAGCUCACGCAACACCUAAUAGCUGAGAGGUGACGAGGAGGUCUGCCAAUGUUCGGUUGCUUCAAGUUCUCAAAAGUACUUGAUUUCUCUUCUCUUGUAACAGUAACGUUCUCCUUCCUAUAACUGCCAUCCAACAUGGAAAGUGCCUGCGGGUAAUCAGUCCCUGCAGCCAUUUUCUCCCCAAAACAUAAUCCACCCCCGGAUAAAUAACUGGACCUCAAGUAUACCCUUUCAAACACUCCUUUUCGCAUAGAACAAGUUCGAACUUCAGGAGCUUCGUACUAUUCUCGAGCAAACAAAUUUUCAAUACCAGGAACAGACCCAGUAUAAUACCACGCAACAGCUUCAAUUAUUCGUCUUCCUUUUGCGUUGUUUCUUCAGAUUAUUUGUUGGGUACCUGAGCAGAAAAUUACCAGAAAAUUCUCAACUCACUUCUCAAUAACUUGUUGAGCUAAAAGUUAAAAGAUCAAACAGCCCAGGUAAUCAAUUGAACCACAAGCUACAAUCCUAAAUUGUACUGGAAACUGUAAACUCCCUAAAAAGCAAACAACUUUGAAAUUUCCAGGACUACCCACAAAUCCAUAUCUCAAUCCAAACCACCAAAUCAGCCACAACCAUAUCAAAUUUCAGGGAAUAAAACACACAAACCAAUAAAAAAAAUCAUGACUUUAUUCUAUUUUUGUUAAGCAUAAAGUCCACAGCUAUCAUUUUUACUAAACAAAUCAUAUAACUCAAUAGAUUCAGAACUACAAAAAUCAAAUCCAAAUACAGAAACCAUCACAGACCAAGCAAAAAACUUAGGCAGAAAAAAACCCAAAUUAACAAAACUAUUUACUCAAAAUCCCCAAUAACAAUCACACGCCAUAGAUUGCAACUUUUCAGCCAUAAAGAUUCAAACUUUACACAUAAAAAAGAUAAAAUCUGGAGAAAAUAGUAGGUGGGUGAUGAGAUUAUGAGAUGAAAAAUACUUGCCGUACUGUUUUGGUUAGCUUGACAAAACCUCCAAAGAUCCUGAAAGAGAAAUUGGAAAUUGAUGGGAACAAACAAGCCCACAAAACCCUCGAACCUUUCAACUCAAAAAUUGGAAAUGGUUUUUAUUUUUUUAUUUAAAAAGAUUUUUUGGUUUGAUAUGUUUGUACGAUUUGAUGUUGAAAGAGUCUGAUGAAUGAAGAAAACAAAGGGCAACCGGCUACGUGUGCUUUUCAACCGGUCAUUGCGGGUCGCCCGGUGGAUUCGUAGAUACGGCCAGCUGCGAAACCGACACGUUGCGGGGGUGGGGUUUUGAUAUUUCGGUUGGUAACCGGAUGUUGGGAAGCGAAGCGAGCGUGGUGGGAGUUCAACAAUUGCGGCUGGGGUGUUUUUUCAUCCGUUGGAUUAGAACAGUUGGUGAUUGACGGCGGGAUGAGGACUGACGAUUUUCACCAAACGUGGAAAAACUGGUAGUUGACGGCGCCGAUCUUUUUAUUCAUGUUUUCAAAGCGGUAAACUGGAAAAUAGGUUUUUGCAGAAAGUGGAGAUUCUAAUUCCUAAAUAUUCCACACCAAUGCCAUCCAGACGCAUCACAUUAUUUGUAAUUUCAUUUUUCAUGGAUGAGAUAACUUAAUUUCUCUAAUUAUAUUUUGGAUUUUUUUUAGCACAUCGAUAUUUUUUACAUUAAAGGAGAGAGGAGUUCAGCUAAGCCACACACAAUGAGUAACUUAAUUUGUUAUCGAAUUGUCAUCCACGAGACUAUAGUACUGACUUACGGCCUUUUAGGAUUUUGAUCAUAAUGUUUCCUUUCAACCACAAUAAAUACAAAAGUGUCAUUCACACAUUCAUUUUUUCUUCCCACACACUCUUAUUAAUUUUUUUUUACAAUGAUUUUCUUUAAUUCAUUCAAUCCGACGGUCAAAAAUUAAAAGAAAUAUAUGAGAAGCAAAAAUAAAUGUAUGAAUAGCAGUGCCCUGAGAUAUUAAAGAGAAAGGCCUUCCACAAUUUCAUUUUCACAUUAAUAAGCCCAAGAAAUUAAAGGGCACUUUCAUAACAUAUUGUGUGUUUGACAGGGGAGAUUUAGACCACUCACCAACACAAGAAAUUCUUGGAUAUCUUCGUUGACACAAGAUAAUUCAUCGACAAAAAAGUCUAUAUUUCUCAAUCCCCACAUGUUGAAAGUUUUAGGUGUGGCUAACCUAUGCGAUUUCAACCCGUUAUGAAUGAAAUCUCCACAUUUGAAAUUGUCUAAAUUAUAUAUAGGUAAUUCAUCCAUGCCACAAUAAAAUGUUACAUUUUUUAUUAAGGGCUUAUGAGCUAUAUAUGUCAUUUACUCAAACUUGACCAAUUCAAUUGUGUCCAUGAUAUAGUUAUGGCUCCAUACCUUUUGUCAAAUUCCUUUUAGUAAGUCAAACAUGGGUUUUGAUUCAUAUUUACAAUUUCCAUGGAUUUUCUUCUAUAUUAGAAAAAAACUUAUAUAUUUUCAAAACUGUGCACAUUUUUUUUGUAAGUAUAAUAUGUGGAAUAUUUUUGCAAGGCUUUAUAUGAUUGUAACUUUAACGUUUCAUCAGCACAUGCAAUUGCUAUGUAGAAAGAGUAGGCUUCUCAAUUGCAUACACAGCAGCAGCCGAUGCAGCUGGUGAGUCAAUCCAGCAGAGGCACCAUCCUCUCUACAUUCUACUAUGGCUACACCUGUUCCCAAUUAGUCCUGGGAGGAAUGGCGGCUCAGAAACUAGGAGGACAAUCCGCCCACCUCUCAUUUGUCACAUGGUCUCUAACAUAUGCCUUCGUCCAACUAGACCCUAAUCGUGCCACGACCAUGUUCCCCUCUUUCCACUCUGUCCACACGGUGGGUAGCACCUCACGAGCGGUCUAGGACUGUUUCUGUCACACUUCUGGGAUGUAUCUCAAUGCGGCUACAGCAAUGCUUGUGGUUCCAAGCCUUGUGAGACUGAAAAGCCCCCAUUUUGUGUUUGUGGUUGAAGCAACUGUGUGGACUAUUUGGUCUUCGGUCUGGUUGAACUAUACAUUUGAGUUUGGACCUUAAGCAAAGGUGGACGUUGUGGGGAGAGUGAAUCCUGUAUUUAGAUAGAGAUAUAUUUAUACAUAACUCAUUUUCUAAGGUGAAAUCGAAAGAAAAAAAAUAGGGAGAUUCACAAGAAAUGAUAAGGCCACACGUGAGAUUGUGAGAGUAGGGAAUCAAAGAAUUACCAUGCACUAAUUAGAAUCGAGUAGUAUAGGUUAAGUCAAUGGUAAUGGCAAAUGUUGACAUUAUAUAUAGGUUAGACCACGGAAAAUUAGCAAGUUGUAAACAUAUUAGGAGACCAGAAAGAGCAAGUCGUUUAAAGUGAAAAUUUAUUUGAAUUCAUUAUUUUGUUUCUUUAUAAAGCCCAAAAGUAAAUUUAUCUCAAAUAAAGUUAUCCUUUGAAUAAAAAGUUUUUAUCGUGACGUGAUCGGAUAAUCGGAUAUCUACGUUGAACAUCAAAUUAUUUGGGUGGUGAGGUUUUGUCAAAAGACUUGAUAAAAGAGAAAGACUACUUUUGAAGGCAGAGGAGACUUGGGAAUGGGUGCAUGGUGCGUGAGAGAGUUUGAGAGUAUCUUUAAUGGAGUUAGUAAAUUUAUCUUUUAUUUUUUUAUUUUUUUUAUUAACAGAAGCGAUGAAGUUUUUUAUUACAAUGAGUACAUAUUCUCCAAUGAUCAAUUUUUUUAUCAAGAGACAAUUCACACAAAUUACAAAUGAUUUUAAAUCUCUAUACGGGCACCGCAAAGACCACUAGAACAAGUAGCAAUGCCCUUGUAAAUAUAAAAGGUUGGUCGUUACUUUUUCAAUUCAGUAAUUGGGUUGCUACUUUAGAGACUAUUUUUUCCUCUGUUGCAUGGCAAAUUUAAUUUGUUACUCAUUUGCUACUUCUAUAUGAUAUACUCUUCGAGAUGACUCAUGAUUCCUACACUAUGUUCUUUCCGAUGUAGCCAAUAAAUUGGAUUAUUUAAUACAAUAAAGAUUAAAAUGAAAGAAGUGACAUUUAAUGAUAAAAAAAGAAGAAGAAAUCAUUGAAAAAUUGGUGACUCAUAAGUUAAGGGAUUGUUUACUUUUGUCAUCUCCUAAAAGUGGAUGUUAUCGUUUUUUCAAGUUGUUCAACUUAAUGUAGCUUUGAUUUGGUGUGCUAGUUUUUGCUUAUAGAGUAUGAAUUCAAGAGAAUGACAAGAUCUACAAGCUUCAUGCAAAUCAACAAGCUGGAUUAGAAUUCGACAAACUAAUGUUUAAUUAAUGAAAACGAGAUUUAAGUUUUCAGGACUAUAAUUUUCAUUGUUAUAUUAUUUGUUUGAUUUUUUUUUAUAUUUGAACUCUAAGAAUUAUAAGUACCACCUUUAUUACAGUGCUAGGUUUGUAAUCUUUCAUACUUUCAAUCAAUAUUGUAAGUACCACCUUUAGAGUGCUAGGUUUGUAAUCCUUCAUACUUUCAAUUAAUAAAUUUUAAACUUUUCUCUAUUUUUUUGUAUAUUUUUUACUACUAAGGGAUUUCGGUGCAUGUAUUCGGGUUUUAUGUUUGUUGAUCUUUUUUUGUUGUAUAUUCUGUUGGGUCACUUUUAAAUACUAGUAUGCAAAAAAUGUUAUAAUAAGAGCCAAUAGCGUUUUAGAAAGGUUAACACUACAAUACAUAAUGCUAUAAAAACAAUUGAGGUAUUUGUCGAUUUGCUCCUUUAAACUUAUAACUCACUGCCAAUUUCCCCUGUAAAAUGUUUAUUUAUACCACUGUCGCUAAAUUUUGAAAUUUUCCAUCCAAAUUUAUAACAUGGCAAACACAUGAGCCAUUAAUAAGGGAUUAAAAAGGGUGAUAUCAACGCUCAUCUCCUAAUCCAGCUUUCCCAACUUCAUUCCUCCAUUCACCAUCCACUUCUUACCUAAUUCCCCCAAUAUUAAGCUCCCAAAUUGUUCUUAUAUGAGCGAAGUUGUGGUUUCAAUGUAAAUUUGGUAAACGGCAUUGAAGGGACAGGGAGGAACUCAUCCAAUCAAAUUAAAAAUAAGAUGAACAAAAUUGAAAUAAUUGAUUAGCAGUCCGAGACAUGGAUGACUUCCUUCACGAGGAUGCGAGCAAAGAAAGCUUAUUCCUAAGGUCAUGGAAGUAAACUUAGCUAUGAACAUUGCAAACCCAAAACUUACUCCAGUUGCCUUGCCCAUAACCUCAUCGUACCCGUAAGCAAAAUUGCAAACCCAAAACCACAAUUAUAUCAGUACACUCAAAGCAACACAAGUUACUCGGAAAGGCAGAUUGAGAUGGAGCAGACAGAGACUCUUGGACGCACCAGUGCGUGCAAUUCGACCCAGGUAGACCAUUUCCCUUAAAAUCACCUCUGAUGUUUCGAUAUUGGCUCCAAGCUAUCAUUUUAGUAAGGCAAACUCAAAAUUUUACCUUAAGUAAUGCUACAUACGAGUAAUGUUACAUUUUUUUUCCCGUUGUUUAUAGGAUAUUUUAUAGCACAUGAUGUGACAUGUAAUGGACAAUUAACAUCCAGUUAGAUAAAUGCGACAUUAUAACAUUCAAUGAAAUAAAUGUCAACAUUAAAUGAGAUAAAAUCCUAAAUUAAUGUGACGGUUACAAUCACUUGCCACUUCAUGUGGUAUAGAAACCGAACUCAUGUUAGCCGCCAAGCGAGCCAAUACCAUUGCUCAUCACUUAAAUUGCUUAGCUCUCCAUGGAUUUUCGUUGUCGAUUUGAGGAUCCAACCGACCUCGUUUCGGAAAUGUCAUCUGAUGAUUGUUGUGAUUAUUAACCAAUUGACACUUAUCAGUUAUCUAUUCGUUAUAGUCACCAUCACUCAAUUAGUUAAUACUGUUAAAGAGUUAGUUACAAAGGGUAUUAUUGUAAUAAUCCAUGUAUUUUGGAUACUAUAUAACACAUUGUAAAGGCUUGUAAUAAUUCAUAGUGUGAAAUACAAAGUCUUCUGAAAUUCCUUCAUUCCUAAGCUUCUAUCCUCCUCCUUCCAUUUCUUCUCAAUUUCUCAGUAUUAUGAUGGUAUCAUCGCUGGAAAGGCUCGUCGCCGCUCUGAUCCUUGGUGACUUUUCCGCUGCUUUGUAAGAUUGUAGCCGUUCUGAUUUCUGGUGGUGCUUUGUUGCUGCUCUGUAACUCUGUGUGCGAUUUUGAAGACUCUGGAAGAUUGUUAAAGCAGUUCACGUUCUCUGAUUGUUGAAAUCAAUUCAGGUGACAUCUUUCUUUCGAUUUUGGAAGAUAUUUCGAUCAUGGAUUAUUGUGUUCUUGAGAUUCUUGAAGAAAUUGUAUGGAGUAAGAUAUGAGAAUUUUGUUGUUCUUUGAUUGUGUAGCGUAAUGUUCAUAAAUUGCUGGUGAAGAAAUAAUAGUGAAAUUGGAAUAUUCAAGAAAGUGUUAUUCUUUCUUGGUGAUUUUGGAAAGUGUCAAUCUUCCUUGGCGAUUUAGGAAAGUGUCAAUCUUUCUUGGUAAAGAGUUUCAAUCUUUUCGAGUUUUUGCAGUUUUUUUCCAAUUGAAAAGAGUGUUAAUCUCUUCCUGUUCAUUACAUAUUGAUAUUUUUGUAUUUGUGAUCUGAUUCAAGAUGACUACUCCGACUGUUAAAGUAGAAAAUUUGUUAGGGAUGCUUACUAAAAUUGAAAGAUGAUAAUUUCGCCAAAUGGGCAUUUCAAUUUAAGGCUGUGUUGAAGGGUUACAAACUGUUUCAAUGGCACUGAUGUGUGUCCAUCAAAGUUUAUCAUAACUACUGAUCUUGGAGUUACUGAGGAAGUUACUAAAGCUUAUAUUGAUUGGGAGUCAACUGAUAUGGCUUUAUUAAGUCUUUUUCUUGCAACUCUAUCUGAUGAAGCGAUGGAAUAUGUUCUUGGAUGCAAGAAUGCUCAUGAGGCUUGGGUGAAUCUUGUAGAUAGGUUUGCUUCUGUCUCAAAAUCAAGAGUGAAUCACCUAAAGACUAAGCUGCAUACUAUACAAAAGGGAACUGAUUCGAUUGAUAAGUAUUUUAUAUGAUUGAAAAAUAUUAGAGAGCAAUUAAGUGUUGCAGGAGAGUAUAUCUCAGACAAUGAUGUUAUAAUUACUGGUUUAGUUGGGCUACCAAAAGAAUAUGCGAUAAUAAGAACUGUCAUUCUUGCUAGGGAGUCAUCAAUUACUCUUAAAGAGUUUAGAGCACAACUUCUUGGUGCUGAAAAGGAAAUUGAAGGAGAAAUCAGUAUGUUGUCUCAGAGUUUGUCAGCCUUGCAUGUGAAAGGGACUGGUACUAAUCCUAGAUCUUCAAUGGUCACUGGUUAUUCUUCUAAUCUGCAGAAUCAUAGUCACAUCUCUGCUACUACUGGUGGUGUUUUGUCACAAGUUCCUUAUGAUGGUAUCUCCACCACAAUUUCAACCUGAUAUGCAGUCAUCUCAAUUAUAUUCCACACCACAACCACCAGCUACCUUUUAUCAUCUUGCACCAUAUGGUUUUGGUUUCUUUGGAAAUUCUGGUUCUCAUUCAGAUACAAGAAAUCAAAAUUCAAAUUCUAGCUUCAGAUCAUUCAAUGGCUCUACCUUUAAAGGUCAAAACAAUUACAGGUCCAGUAAUGGAUACAAGGGGAGGAAUUUCAAUUCUUGAAGGUACAAGCAGAACUUAAAUAACAAUGGUUGGUCUGGAAACACAGAUACAAGGAUGAACAUAGUUAUUGAAUGCCAAAUCUGCAACAAACAAAGUCAUAUAGCAGCAAACUAUUUUCACAGGAACACCAACAAUUCUUCUAAUGGUUUUGUGAUCGAGUGCCAAAUUUAUGGGAAUAGGGGUCAUGCUACUCUUGAUUGUUAUAAGAGAAGCAACUACACAUAUCAAAGUCAACCUCCUCCAUCUUCAAUAAAUGCCAUGAAUGCAUAACAAUCAUCACAGUUCUUGCCCACUGAUUCAUGGAUAGUGGACUCUGGUGCUUCUCACCACAUGACAGCUGAUGUUAAUGGCUUGGCACAUGUUGCUUCAUAUGAAGGUAAUGAGAAGAUUACUAUUGGUAAUGGCUCAAGUAUAUCAAUAAAAAACAUUGGUUCCACUACUCUUCAUACAAAAGACCAUUCAUUACUACUUUCUCGUGUUUUACAUGUUCCAAAGAUUGCUAGAAGUUUGUUGUCUGUUAAACAAAUGUGUGCUGAUAACAACAAUUGGUUUAUAUAUGAUGAGUCAAACUUCUUUUUACAGGACAAGAAGACAAAUAAGGUUCUGUAUCAAGGAAAGAGUAGGCCCACAGAGUUGUUUCAGAUCCCAGGUUUUCACAGUGCUAAAGGUGUGCAGUCUACAGUUCUUACUACAAAAGCUUUACUUGGUCAAUUGGUGAAGUCAAAUGUGUGGCAUCAAAGGUUGGGUCACCUUACAAAUGAAGUACUAUCUUGUAUGCUAAAACAAUGUAGUACACCAUGUAAUACAGAUAAUAAGCACAAUGUUUGUACAUCAUGUAUUCAGGGCAAAAUGUCUAGAUUGCCAUUUCCAAAUAGAACUGAAAAAUGCUUGUCUCCAUUUGAUAAAUUCAUACUGAUGUCUGGGGAUCUUCUCCUAUAAAGUCUAUAGAUGGCUAUAGGUAUUAUGUACUGUUUGUUGAUGAAUAUACAAGAUACACUUGGGUAUUUCUAAUGUGCAAUACAUCUUAUGUCUUCUCUAUUUUUGUAAAGUUUUACUAGUUUGUGUUAAACCAGUUUGGAGUAUUUGUCAAGUGUUUACAAAUUGAUGGGGGAUGAGAGUACAUUAGUAAGUCUUUUACAAAGUUCUUAAGUGAUAACGAAAUUGCUCAGAUGCUGUCAUGUCCAUAUACCCCUCAGCAAAAUGGAAUUGCUGAGAGGAAACACAAGCAUAUAAUUGAAACUUGAAUUGCAUUACUCACUAAUGCUGGUUUACCAUUGGAAUUUUGGUAUUUUGCUUGUGCACUGAUGUGUUUUCCUGGCUUAGGCCUUACAAUUCUAAUAAGCUUCAAACAAGAUCAGUGUGCUUGAAGAAUUCUCGAUUCACUUAGCCCACACCCCUACCCCUUAGUAUAUAUAGUGUAGAUAAUAUUGUUUGUUCGAAAAAGACUACUUGAAUUAUCUCGCCAUAAAUGUGGUAUUAACACCCUCAUGUACAAUUAAUAUGAUAUGAAAUAUAGCUAUUUAGUACUAUAUAUUUCUCUUCACUUGUAAGUAAAUGGUCUUAGGUUAAAAUUUCGUAAAUGACAAGUUAGUGAUCAAGUUAUUCCCCUCCCCCACCCUGCUUUUUAGUGUAAAUAUAUUGUUUUAUAAUAAUUGUAUGUUCAUCAUCCUUCUUGUCGUCGGUUGUUAGUUGUAGAUAUAAUUAGAGUGUCAUUGCCGUGUGAUAUUCUUUUGUAAUCUUUCCUUUUUCUUUCGGGUUUAUGCACUGUUGUCAAACAAAAGAAAAAUUAAAUGCAUGCGAGGGUUUCUUUGGUGUGAGCACACAAAUUUAAUGUCUAAUGAAAUAAUAACACUUCAUACUAAGAGGGAGCAUAAGACGAAUUUGCUGUUAAGUCGUAUGACGUCAAAAGUAGCACUAGGGCACUAGGAAAUUUUCUAAGACUUUUUUUUUAACACCCUUUUUAAUUGAAAUCUUUUCUUUAGAAUAAAAGUGAACCAAAUAAAACCAAGAUAACCGAAAGUGAGAAGCCAAUAUCACCAUUAAGAAAGGAAAAAAAAACAAAAGAAAAUUAAUGAAAAAAGCUUGAAAACUUUGAGUUUUAACGAUAAGGACAAAAUAAAGGGUAAAGUGAAUAAUACCAUGAUUGACUUUUUAAUGUAAAAAUGUUGUUUUUCGUUAAAGUGAACAAUACUAUGAACUUUUCGUUAAAAUUCUCAAAAAACAAAUGUGCAUAAUACAACAAGAACAUUGAGUGGACGUAUAGUCUAAUUGAAUUCGAGUAGACUUGGAAAAGAAACUGAUCAACUGCCAAUAAAUAUGGGAUUAAGUUGGGUCUUGUAAAAAUCUUGACAAACUUAAAAAGUAAGAACGUGUUUAAAAUAUGGAAAUUUUAACGAAAAGCUCAUGGUAUUGUUUACUUUAAUGAAAAACCACAUUUUUACACUAAAAAGUCAAUCCCAGUACUAUUCACUUUACCCUUUAUUUUGUUCUUAUCAUUAAAACUUAAAGUUUUCAAGUCAUUUUCAUUAGUUUUCCUUUAAAAUAAACUAUGAAAUAAGAGAGAAUAAGAAAGAACAUAGAGAUUGGGAGGAGAAAUGUGAUAGUCUACUUUUAUUAUCAUUCGACCCCUUUAUAUAGGGUAAGGGUAACUUGGAAGAGAAGCUCAAAUGUCUCUACUUUACAUCAACGAUUAUAUAAGAGAUUAACCACACAAUUGGUUACGAAUAUGGACAACCACAUAGACAAGUAUUUGCUACAAAACCCUUUAAUUUAAUAUUCUCAUAAGUUUUAUUAAUGUCAAUCAUGAAAUUAGAUAGUUUAUGCAUUUUGAGUCACAUGCAUCUACAGUUCAUAAAUUGCCUAAAGUUGCUUACAAAGCUUGGAUUUAAAAAAAAUAAAAAAAAGGUUUCGGAAUUCUAGUAAUUUCCUACUGUAGUGCAGCCAUUAGGGAAGCAAACUUUACAGACAUCAACUUAGUUCUAAAUGUAUCUAGUUUUAGAUUGGUGCCGACUUGUGCAAAGCAGACGUUUCAAUUUCACUCUUUCUAUAUGUUAACUUGGGUCCUUUGUUGCCCUAUCAAUAUAAUGUAUAGCCAUGAUCCCUGCGCCUCUUUGAGGAAGUCCACGAACACCCACAUGAACAAAGGGCCAAGCUACCAAGCCCACAAAAUCAGCCUACGAGUUUUCAGCACCGAACGCUGCAUCAGAAAUGGUCGUAACCGGAGCGCCCAAGUCAUUGAAUUGUCAAAACCUUACCACUGAUCAAAAGAAGAGAGCACUCGGCUCAAGUACUUUCCGUCUGCUUCAACCAAGUGUCAGGCCUCACACCUUUCCAACACAAAUUCAAAGAGGCAAGUCUAGUCCAAACAUAAACUCCGUGCCAUGUGUGGAUCAUCAACAUAGAAGAUAGCCCACAGUAAGUAGGCCGGUAAACACGUCGGGUUUAUUGGGUUUGAGUCGAGUUCAAUUUGACCAGUUAAAUUAACAGGUUAUCUGAACCUGACCCGUUAAGCUAACCAAUCACCUGUUUCACUCGUUAACAAUUAUUAUUAUUAUUUUUUGCAUAGAGUUUAUUUUAUGUUGUUAAGAUUUUACUGAAAUUAUUAAAACAUCCUCAACUAAUGGGUGCUAACGGAUUGACCCAAAGUGAUCCGUUAUUUAACGAGUUCACCCGUUAGCGACCCGACCCGACCCGACCCGUUAAGCAUCAAUCCAAAUACUAAUAUUAACAUGUUAGAUUGGGUUAACGGGUCGGGUCCAAAAUGUCAGGUACAACGGUAAAUCACAGGGAACAAUUAUAGGGAGUAUUCGAUAUGACUACUUCACGACCGCCUUCAAAUGAGAACCUCUCCUAAACAACUUUUCAACGUGGAAACCCGAAGAGUAGACAUGCUUGGAUGUUAACUCCGCUCCACAUGUUAGCCGCUCACAAGAGGGAUAGCUUGCGGUCCGACAAUUAAAAGCCCAAGACUUUUUUCUUUUUUUGGCCGAAGGAGAAUUAUAUACCAAACAAACACAACUACAACAAAGGCCCAACACAAAACAAAGAUAUAACCAAAAACAGGCCUAAAACAAAACCAAAACAGAAAAAAGGCCCAGCAAGGCCCAGAAACCAACAGCUUCCGCCAGAAGCUUCCACAGCCAUCGUCCCCCUCGGAAACAGGUCAUUCAGCUGAUGCCCAGCCGCCAUCCAGUAGCGUAUCCACAGAUGCCACCUCCAACCCACCAGAGCACAGCCACAUAGUUUUUGUAGGAAUAAUCGGCAACCAAGUGAGCGGAGCCGAUUAACGGAAGGAAGUUCGUGAAAGCCCACGAACAACACUGUCGAAACCGAGGAACAACUCGGAACAGUCAGACGAAGCGGAGAAAGUGGUGGUGGUGGAACCACCCGAGCCGGUGAAGACACCAGAACUCUACACACAAUCUCCUAAAUAAACUUGGCUGGCGAGCAGAUCCAGGGUGAACAGAGAAGAGGGUUACCAGCAGGAGUAAAGAACCGGAGAAUGCCAGAGAGAAAAUUGGGGAGAGAUAGCAGUAGAGGCAGGGAGAGGAGAAGGAGAAGAGAAAAGAAAAAGCACGGCAACCAACCCCGACCGAAGCCAGGGCUGGUGCCACCGGAAAAGUCCAAAAUCAAAAGACUCACAAACAGUGAGAAAACACUCUCAGGUCAGAGAGAAAGAACUCCCACCGAGGAGAGAAAGAAAGUUCUAGCCCA